AACUGCAAAAAUUAAAUCCAAAAUUAAUUUGUCUUAGGAUCAUACUGCUUUGAAAUAAUCACACAACAAGCUAAUAAAUUAUACGUACGUCUGUGGAAACAAUGUCAUCCAUGAGCCUAAAAAUUGUAUUUGCAGCUCUAACAAUUUUGGGGUCAGUGAACAACCACUCAAAUGCUUCCUUUGUCACAACAUCUCCCAUGCCAAGUAAAGAUAUGGUUGUAAGAAAGGUGUAACUAAUCGAAACUGUUGCAACACGCAUAUACUCCUCCAUGCUUGGAACUCGUCCCUCGUGCAACCAUUGGGCCUCAUUAAAAUAGGAUCGAGCUUGAUCUUUCAUCUGAUGAGCCAAGGCUAUGUUAAUUUACCAGGAAGAAAAAAAAGUUUAAAAGGAAAGUUCUGCAUAUGUAUAUGUACUACAUACAGCUUGUAUUGCAUAUGGAACUCGGUAUGAUCUUCCUUCCUUCACCAUCUCUGCCUCAAUAUCAUUGUAGAGAUUUAAAAGUGCAUGAUAAAAUGUUUGCAUAUAUUCCGGGAGUUCAUCAAUGCAAUUGACAUCCCACCUGAAGCUCUAGCAUAAUCAUCAUCGUAAUCAUUGGAAUAAAGUAGCAGUUUUUAAUUAUUUUUAACAAAUAGUUAUUAAUUAAAUAUCUCAAACCUGUCAAUCGCUUCAGUAAAGACUACGAGCUCUUCAAAUGUACCAAAUGCGUCGUAGAUAUCAUCCAAUAUUGUCAGCAAGACACUCACUUUUGUCAUAAUUUUUCUCCCAACAGAGUACUGGGGUUCAAAAUACACUCCGACGAUCCAAAAGUACAACUCUACCAUCCUAUCUCUUGCAAAUGGCAGCUUCCUUUCAAAGUCUAGUGCUCUCCACCACCUAAACAUAUUACUUAACUAUUAAUUACUUCGAAUUCGAAAGUUAUGUGUGUGUGUGUGUGUGUUUAUUGGUGCCAUCUUGCAAACUAAUAAGAUCAGCUUAAUUACCUAGUGAUCUCUUGGAGCUCCUUUUUGUGCAAGGGCUGGACGAGAUUGAAGUCUAACUUUGCAAGUUUCAGAAGAGAUUCAUUAUGUGAAGCUUCUUCUUGGUAGAUUGAAAUGUAACGUCGCGCAGAUAAUCUCUCUAGACUUUUUCGCAGAGGUCUCUCUAGGGCUUGAGUUAUUUGUGUAGCUAGUGGAUUGCUUACACGGGUUGCUGCUGACUCAAGGUGAGUGGUGGUGAAUACUAGAGCCUCUUCUAAUAUGUCUUCUCCAUGCACCCUCAGAUGUGUUGCUUCAUAAAAGCUUAGCAUACCAGACAUGUCAUCAAUCAAGCUUUCCUUGAAGUUACUACUUUCAUCUUUGAAAUUGUUGAAUAUGGCUGCAUGAUUUUCAGAAAAUAGGGACAAAAGAAUUAUGAAAGUUUUAAUAGUAACUCAAAUUAACUAAUUAAGUUAAUUUGUUUACACCUAAUUAAGUUAAUUUGUUCACACCUACCACAGGAAACAUUAUAUCCAUGUUGUCUUAGCAGCCGGAAACCUAAAGCAACAGUGUAUAGAUCAACAUCAUCGUUGCCAUGGUCAUCAUCAAACGUAGAAUGCAUACAUUCAAGUGCUUCUCUGAUUUCUCUUUCAAAAUGGUAUGCCAAGCCAAGGCGCUGAAUUGCAUCAAUCAACUUUAGCUGAAGUGAAAAAUCAGUUGCACUAGUUGUGAAUGCUUCCCUCACAAUUUCUUUGAGUUCAUCAACCUGUUGUUGACUUUGAGCUUGAGUAAUCUGCAAAUGGUGAAGUCCGCUUCUAUUAGAAAGUGUCAAUUUUAUGUAUUUAAAAAUAGCCAAACACUGCUAUAUCAUAACUCAUAAUGUUAAAAAAUGCUGUGAUAUUGUAGAAGAUAAUGUGCGUGCGUGCAUGCAUGAUAUGUAUUACAGUGUCUUGGGAAUCAUCAUAAUUUAUGAACUGAUCUCCCCAAACGCUUGGGUGAAAAUUUGCCGUCCGCCGAGCAACGUCAGGCAUAGCAUUUUGUGAUUGAGCUUCUGCUGAAUCCUGGAUUAAUGCCAUGCUUUCCUGUUGGAGAAUUUUAGUCAGUAUAUGAAGAAGAAUGCGUGGACGAUCAUGUAUUUAUAGGCAAGCAAAUAUAGAAUUUAAUCCAAAAGGUAACCUCGUGGCUUUAUUAUUAUUAUUAUUAUUUUGGAUGAACUCAAUGUUCUCGUGCUUUUUUUUUUUUAUUAUUUUGGAUGAACCCAAUGUUUUAAAAGAGGCUAGCCACUAGUUGGGCAACAUGCUGGAGCCUGCGAUGUGUUGGGGCCUAGCGUCUAGACGGAGAUCUAGGUGAAUUUAAGUAAAUUUAUUAUAUAUGCCUAUUUAUAUUUAAAAAAAAAAUACAUCACAGUAUUGGAUACAUAAAUUAUAAAAUAAAAUAACAUAUACAUUAUAAAGUAUUAAAACAUAUUGAAAACACGUGGAAUCAUAUAAUGAGUAUUUAUCCAAGUAUUCAACAAGUAUAUUACAUUUUAUUGAAAAAAAUAAAAUGCAAACUGAAAUUUUAUCUAUUUUUUGUUUAAGUGAGACUCAUGACCUAAGCUGGCUAGGCAAACGUCUAAGCAGUUUUAGGUGCCCUUUUUUAAUUUUUAAACACCUAAGGAUUAAUCGGGAUGGUAGCUAACCGCUUAUUACCUAAGCAAAAUCUAAACAGCGUUAAGCGGGAAUUUUAGAAUAAUGAAUUACCCUCGUGGCUUGAAUGGGUCAAUCAAAAGUAGGACCUUUCAAAACCGCGUAAAAGCUUUUCGUAAGGAAGUUAGUGCAGGUCGGCGAGCAAAUAUAGAAUUUAAUAACACUCACCAUAGCAGAAGCUGGACAUUCAUAAAUCACAUGAAAUACCUGUAAAGCAUGCAGUAAUUUGAAUUUUUUACUUAAUUCGUAAAUAAUACUUACGAAUGGCAACGGAUCUGGUCCCUACCACGUUUUGGAUACCCUCAUAUAUAUCCCCACGUUUUUUUAGUGGAUGCCUUUAAUUCAUAGGUAAUACUUGAGAUGCCUAAACGUUAUCCUUAAUUCACGUGUUCAGUGACGAAAUCAGUAAUUAGGCGUUUAAGUAAAUAAAAUUUGAAAACUUAAGAAUCUACUACAAAAUUUAGUGUGAGUCACCGGGUGUAUGCCUAAACAAUUUCAUUCAUUGUGGAAAAUACUUGUUCUUUAAUUGAGUGCACUGUUCUAAAAAUUCCCGCUUAACGAUGUCUAGGCCCCUCUUAGGCGUUAGACCACUGGCUACCGUCCCGAUUAAUGCCUAGACACUUGAGAAUUAAGAAAGGGCGCCUCGACCUGCUGAGGCGCCCAUCUGAACCGCCUAGGCACCUACCUAAGUUGUUACUCACUUAGACAAAAAAUAGAUAACUUUCAUUUUGAAUUUUAUUUUUCUCAAUAAAUUGUAAGAGACUUGUUGAAUACUUAAAUGACCACACAUUAUUAUAUGCUUGUUCCCCAUUUUUUUAUUAUAUUCUAAUACUUCAUAAUAUAUAUGUCAUUCUAUUUUGUAGUUUAAGAUGAAAUCAUAUAUAUAUAUAUAUAUAUAUUAAGUAUAAAUAGACACUUAUUUACACAAAAUAUACUGCAUUUACUUAAAUAUGCCUAGUCCAACUAGAUGCCCACCUAAGCCCCGCAUAGACACUAGGCCCGAACCUGCCACCUGACUAGCACUUAGCGUCUUUUAGAACCUUAAUUGAGUGUGAGCCAGUUGAAGAACAAUUAAGUUUGGUUUGAGCUCACACCCCAAAUUCUUGAAAUUUUUACAAAACAUAUCAAAUGAAUGUGAGCUCAAACUGAACUAAGUAUGAAACUUAAGGUUUUAAAUAUCGUUUUUAAUAUUAAAUGCGAAUUUGAACCACAUUAUUGCUACAGUUUAGCUGUAAAGAAAAAGAUCUGACGGUCUAAAUUUAAAUCCAACUGCUAAAAUAAUUAAAAAAAAAAUAUUUCAUGUCUUUCAUAUUAUUUCAUAGUGUUCCACGAAUUUCAUGGCUUCAGUUUAGUGAUUUUUUUCAAUAUUUAUCGUAAUCUAAUUAUUUUUAGAUUCAAAUGUUCAUAAAAUUAAAUUAGCAUAUUCAACAUAAUUUUUUUUAAAGUUAUUUUAAAAAUCCAAAAAUCAUUCUUUAAUGAUUUAGAGAUAAAAAUUUAACCCAAAAGGAUUAGAGUAGAAAACAUGUUUCUCGGUUAAAAGUUUUAGGUUUUAACCUAAAGAGUUGGAGAUGGUAUUAAUGUAAAUAUUAUCAUUUUGUUAAAAAAAAAUCAUUUUUUACAGAAAUAUCUAGUAAUUAAUUUAGGAUUGUUGUAAGCAUAAUUUACUGAACAAUUAUGGAGGCUAGAGAUAGGGAUGGGCAAAUACCCAUCGGUUAUGGGUAAUCGUGGUUAUCCAUCCAUUUAAAUUUUACGGUUACGGUUAUGGGUAACCGUUUAGAUAAAUAAACGGUUAUGGGUAUAACCGUUUACUUGCAAAAUUUCAAUUGGCGGUUAUGGGUAUUAACCGCGGUUAUAAACGGGUAACCGUUUACCCAUUUAUUUAUAUAUGUAAAAUUAAUACAAACCAUGUUCCCUAUCGGACAAAACUUAGAUCAAUGCUAUUGACUAUAGUGCAUGAUUUCUGUAGCUAAUAUAAUAUAGUUUUCCUUAACCACUUUAAAUUUCAUGGUCCAUUAUAUAUAUUAUGUUAAUACCUUACAUUAUACUAUCUUUUAACAGUUUUCGUAACUCAAGAAUACUUAGCAAAUUUUAUAUUACCUACAUUGUUAACAGUUAAAAAUAUCGUCAGUAAACUAUUACUUCAAUUAUUGGAAUGGUAUAAUGACUUAAAAAAUUAAAACGCAGAAAUGUAUGAUGAAUGUAUCUAUAACGGUGUUUAAUUGUUAGAAAAAAGAAAAUUAUGACAAAUUUUUCUUUUUUAAUUUUCAAGUUGUUAACAAAACACGUAGACGGGUGAAAAAGGAGUGAAUGGUAAAAAAGAAAGGAUAAACGGGUUAAAAAAGGAUAAAUGGGUAAACGGGUACUAAACGGUUAUGGUUAAAUGGGUACAUGGUUAUGGGUAUGGGUAUAACCAUUUAGGCAAUUACCCAACGGGUAAACAGUUAUGCGGGUAUGAGAAUAAACGGUUAUGGAUAAAUAACCGUGGUUACCCGCCCGCCAUAACCAUUGCUCAUCCCUAGCCAGAGAGAGAGGGAAAGUGCGGCAAUAGUAGAGAGAAAUAGGUGUAAUUGUGGGUGUGUUCUAUUCCACCCUAUUGUGCCUUUAUUUAUAGUAGUAGGAUAAGGAAAAACCUUUCCCUUUAGGAUUACAACAUUUAAUAGGUAAUCAACUCCUAAUAGGAAUAUAAGAGAUAUUCCAAGAUAUAAUAUAAUUUACACAAUCACAUUCAUAAUCUAAUAGGACUGCAACACUCCACCUUGAGUGUGUAAAUACUCAAGUAAAUGGCACAUCAGGUCUUUAGUGAUGAAGCAAGUAUAGUUAAUGAAGUCAUCGACAUAAUAAGCGAAUGCGAGUCUCAAAUCAGCAGAAGAAUGCAUAAAAAGUAAAACUCACAAAACCUCGCUAUGGUAAAACCCAAGGUGGGAGAAAACCCAUAGACUAAGGAGAAAAGUGAGAAGUUACAUUAAGUCAAAACUAUACAUCUUUUGGAUGCAAGUAGAAGAACUCACAAGGGUAUGAUUAGCCCAGGAUGGGUGCCUCAUUAAAACUUAGUUAGGUAGCAAAAACCAGUGGGAAAAUGCUCCUAAUCGUAGGGAAAAAAGUACAUUAAGAUCAAGUGAGUAUACUUCUGGAUACUCCUCCUGAAUUUGACAUAACUUCCAAAUGAGAACUACGAGCAUUGCAUAUGAAUAGUUAGGCAUACCAAUUCCUCGGACAAGCUUCUGGAAGGUUGACUUCGGCAGUGACGUCGUGUAGAGGUCGGCAAGGUUGUUUGGGAUCGGUUUGCAUGAUUUCAAUAUCCUGAUGCAUUGUUGAUGUAGAUGUGGACGCAAUAUGUCUUGGUGUUAACUUCGUUGAUGUAUCAUGGCUUGGUCGGGUUGAUACAUGCGGCAUAGUCUUCAUGGAUCGUCAUCAAGACUUAACGAUGGAUGAAAACACAGCAAAUACUUCGAAUAUGCUCAACAAGAACUACUAACCAUGUCUCACUUGUGGCAUAAUGAAGUAAGGUGAGUCUUGGAAUGAUUCAAAGAUUUCACAACUAAGGUCAUAUCAUGGACCUCUAAGAUAUUGCAAUAUCCCUAACGGUAAAGACAUAACCAUUUUGGGAUUUUACCUUGUGCGGGUUUGAUAAGUAACCUACGUCAGCAUAACAAACAAGGCAAGCAUCAUUCCGAAGAUCAGGGGGUUGGAUCCGCUAAGAUGCGUUGGGAUUUGCCCAUGUAGUACUUUCAGGAUACGUCUUUAAUACCAAUUCAGUGGAUGCGUAUAAGCACAGUGCUGCAUCUUUACCAAGUUCAACAGCGAAGGAGAUGUCAUGUCUAAAUACAAUGAGCUAAGUACAACGAAGAGCCAAGUUGAACUUUAGAUAUGGAAUUUUGGAAUCCAUAACCUCUUCAAGGGUUUCAUUUGCAUAUAACGUAUGGACGAUCAAAUGUAUACUCAAAGGUAACAUAUUUGGGGUGUAGUUCGACUGGUAGACCAAAAUAUUGUCAGAACAAUGCUUCAACUUCAAGUCAAGGCAUAAAUGAGUUUUCCUAAAAUCCUUCAUCUCAAAUUCCAUCUUCAGGUGCGAGACAGUUUUCUUAAGCUCUUCCGAAGUCUUAGUGAGAUUCGUGUUAACGACAUAAACUGUAACUCUAGUAAUUUGGAAUAAGACUUCAUAGUUUAACACGCAAGGGCAUAAUUCAUAUCCCUGACUGAUCAAAUAAUCACUUAGACGGUAUACCACAUCCGUCGAAUUGUAAGUUAACACCUCACACAAGUUAAGAGGCUGUUCUGUGGUUUUGGGAACUAUUUGAACCAGUCCAUGUAAUUCUUCGAGAACUUACAUGUAAAUCUCCGUAUCUAUAUCCCCAUGGAGAAAACACUAACCACAUUUCAUAAUGUUGCUAUCAAUCACAGGAUGUUUUAAAAGAAACCUUGUGCCGUAAGGCGUGCAUCAUAUCGCACUAUUUCAUUCAUCUCAUAAUGUUUCAUUUCCCAUUUGUAACACAAUAGGGUUACCUUGGGCAGUGUAGGAAUGAUAGGUCCAAAACACAGUUUGGUAAGGAAUUUGACAUGGAUUGUAACUUUAGUUGUCCAAUCAGUUUUACGUUGUCACUUAAUCAACGAAACACAGUUCGAUAUCGUCGCUUUUCAUUUAUGUCGGUAGCUACUAUAUAAGUGAAAACAUCAUCGAUGAUAAUCUCAUUUCAAUUCCAUUUAGCUCAUCCAAACUAGUAUAUUGGACUAAGAACUUUAAGUCUCGGGAGAAAUUUGGAUUAAUCUCAUGAGAUGGAAAUGAUUUAAGACAACGAUCGAGUUUAGAUUCAUUGUUGUGCCGUAUCUUCCUCUUCUAGAGAAGUGAAUCCUACGAACUGAAUGAUCUGUCGUGCUCUAGGCCAAGACAGAUUGAUUGGCUAUCCGCUGGUGUACCGAACCAUCCAACAAGGGUGGCACACCCUCCAGGGAUAUUGACUCGAGACGUCCAUUAAGUACGUCUAUCCUUGCAGGCAUGUUUACAGCUGGUAUAUGAUCUUGUCACUUUAGCUAGAUCAAAGGAAUACGUCUAGAGCAACAUUCUAAAAACUAGAAUUCAUCGCACUUGUGUGGUAUGAGGAUCGAGAUGAGACAUAGUGGGCAACGUCCAUGCAAAUUCAUAUUGUUUCACAGGAACGUUGACAUUCUUAUAUCCCCUUAAUGGCGGGAUAAUUGUCUCAUUAAAGUGACAACCUGCAAAUGAGCGGUAAAGAUAUCGCAUGCAAAGGCUCUAGAGAGCGAAGGUGAAGGAGAAUCAUGAUCAACAAAAGAUGCACAUCCUUCUUUGAGGACCCAUGGUGGUACGUUGCGGCGGCGUAACUUAGCACAUAGAAUGCACACCCAAAUACAUAAAUACAAAAAUCGUUAGGUUCGUACCCAAUAACCAACUGUAACGUCAUAUAGGUUGGGUGGCAAUGGGCCUCAAGGCGGACCAACAUAACUGUGUACAAGGAUUGCAUAGCCCUAGGCAGAAACUGAAAACUUGGUACGUUUACCAAAAUUCGGGCAAUCAUUUAAAUUGCGCUUUAUGAUUACUAGGCGAGGCUCUUUAAGGUGAACAUGAGAAUUCAAUGUUUAAUUAUAAAUCCAAAAUACAUGCAAUAUUUUAUCAAAAACCAUCGAUAUAAACUCUUCGGCAUUAUCCAGUAUCCCGGACUUUAAAGGAUAAGUAGGGUGGUGAACCCUUAAUCAGCCAUGAGGUUUAGCGGUAAUGUUUGUGGACAAACAUGUGACCAGUUUGUCGAUUCAUCAACCAAAACUAGAAGUAUUUAUAUAGUCCGCAUUUUGGUUGGAUUAGUCCACAUAUAUUCCCUUGAAUCCACUAUGAAAAGAUAGUUGUGUCGUAUCUUUGCAAGGAAUGAUAUAUCAAAUCAAUUUUCUUAAUGAGCAGGCUUGGCAAAGUGUGCUUGUAGGCACAAAAUCCUCACUUCGGAUAAGGAGAUGCAUUGUAGCAUCAUUGUUCGACCUAAGUGUCCCAAAAAGUCGUGUCAAAGCAAGUAAACUGCUCAAUCAUCCGGCUCCAGGUCGACCAUAUGUGUUGUGUGCCCUAGUUUGGAGACAAGUCAUUGGCCCCAAAUCAAAGCUUCAGGCUCAUUUGUGGAGGUGGUGCAAAGAUAUUUCACUCUAUUUUCUUCAGUGGUUUCAUUUAUGAUCAUUGUCAUCUCGAAUAUCCUUAAAAACUCAUCGUCAAGGAGAAUUUAAGGUCCCUUAAAUGGUAAUUGAGUACCAUUCAUACAACGAGGAGCGUGCCAAUGCUCUUAAUCACGUUGGAUAAACCUGAAGUCGUUGUUAGAGAUGUGAUUUAGGUCUAAAGUUAGUGUGCGUAGUACGUAUGCAUCCAGACAACUAAUUUUCCCACACUCCUACCUAAUCACGUGUUUAAUUGAAUCGGUCACGUGUAUUAAGAAACAUGAUUCAAUUAACUCAUAUUCGAGGAAAAUAUCAAUAAGAUUAUCCAUAAGUAAAACAUACACCAAACGUGAAUCCAAGAACAUGGAAAAAUGUUCACAAAGUAAAUGGUUUACUAAGGGGAUUCACCCAACAAGGCCAUCCAUGUCAAAUUUUUGUUCUUCCAACGGUGUUUGGUAGAGUAAAAUUGGUCUCACGUCUUGACUACUAGAAUGGUACUCCUUAACAACAUUGGUAGGGGCACGAACAUGUGCAUAACCAAUGGUCUAUUCUAUCGAGAUGGAAAUAGAUUCUGCAGGGUUAAGGUUCAGGAAUAUUUUCCCUUAUUCUUGAAGUUUUAGGUCUUGGUUACCAAGGAUCAUGCUUCGGGCAUGAUGCCACACCUUGGCAGGCCCUGAUUCUACCAUAUGUUUGUGGUAGUAAUCAGAUCCGAGAAUUUGGUAACUUCCGCUUUCUACACUAUUGCUUCAGGGGCGAGUUAGAAACAUAGAAGGACGAGAAAAGUAUUCUCCAGUCAAAAUUCGAUCGGAUUUAUAAACUUCAAAAUUGUACUCAUUCAUAGACGUAAUCAUGGUGUGCUCAGGCAAUGUCUUUCAUGAUUAAACAGUCCAUAUGAGCAAGCUAAAGAGCCAUGGAAUCCUCGAUCGGGAAGUAUUUCCAUUUGUAAUGCUUUGACCAUAAGUCUUCGAAUGAAGAUCAUGGUGGAGGCUUAUUCAGCUUUUCCAUGUCAUUGUUAGCUUCCAUGGUUUCUCAGCUUCUUGAUAGUCAAGUGGAGAUUCACAUCUUGUACCCCACAUAAAGUGGUUUCUAUUAGAAACGUCCAAAUCGAGAAAAUCAAAUUUGUGACGGUUUGACAAUCCACUGAAUUGGAUGGAACAAGAUUGUGAAUAGUGUUAUGGGAAUGAAUCAUCCAUAAGCAUCAAGGUUAAAACAUUUGAGUUCUAAGACAUGGUUUUCAUGAAAAACGCUAGGUUUUCAUAGGUGUAUUGUUUUAUGAAAUCUUUGGGUUUCAAAGGCACUAAAUUUGAAACUACGGGUUCAAUUUAGUUUAUGAAUGUUUGGUUCAUAAAAGAGAGGUUCUUGCAAGAACACAGAAUGCAAUAUACAACUAAGUGUAGUGGAUUUGUGUUUCUUUAGGAACUCAAGUAUGGGUGUUUCGGGACUACAAAAGUAUGUCAACUGUUCAAAGUAUAAAAAUAAAUUAUUGAAUCGUUAAUGUCCAAAAGUGAUCUUCAGGUCAAUAAUUUUAGAUUCAUUAUCAGAUUAAUGGAUUACAUGUCACUUUUAAUUAAUUUAAUAAAUCGGGUCAUACAAGGUCGAUUGUAGAAGCAAAAUAAUAUUAUUGGAUCAAAAGUAUAGCCCCAAAAUAAUUUUGGCUAGGUGUUGUGGGUAAAGGGCAUGGGUUAGGUGCCUUAAGCAGAAAAGGCAGGGUCCAAAAAGGGCCUUGGGAGUGACUGCAAAUCAUAGGGGUGAGGUGAAACCCCAGCCACAGCUGGGUUUCAAUUUGGACUGCGGGGAUGGCAUGGGAGCAAGCCCAAAAGCUUGCGGGUUACAAGGGACACCCCAGCCGCAUUAGGCUAACGUCAUGCAUGGCAGGCAGUGGGUCGUGACACAUGGCCCAGCAAGCUAGGCUUGCUAGUAAUGGAUUGAAGGCCAGGGCUGCUGCAUAAGCCCAGCAACCAUAAGGGUUGCGGCAUAUAGGUCAGGGAAGGAAAGCCUAGCCAACUGGGCUGGUUAGAUGGCUACGAGCCAAGGUCAGUGUGCAUGGGCUUGGGGCUUUAGGCCUUGCCGAGGUGAAAUCCAGGUUGUGGCCUGGUUGUUGUGUCCAUAGUGAUGCGGUGGGUGUGCCGCACCAUACCCAAUUCCCUUUUCUUUCUUUUUUCAAAAUCCCUUAGGGUUUAGGAAACCCUAAAUAUGCUUCUAAUUUAUUUGAUAUAAUUUGACUCACAAAUUCCACAUAACAAUUUAAUUGUGCGAUGCAUGAAACAAAUAUAUAUAUUGACAAAUAUAUAAACAUAUACAAUAUAUAUCGGAAAGAAAAUAUAAACAUAGGGGUUCAUGCAUCAUAGGGAAUGUUUUCAUACUUCAAGGUCGUUUCAAAUAUCUUACUUUAUUUUAAGCGUACCUGAUUGGCAAAAAAAAACAAAAGCCUUUGAAUUUGUAGAAGAUCCAUCUCAGAACGCCGAAAUUGCAUCUCCAAUGCGUUGUAUCACGUUCAACACAAAAAAAUUAAAUUGAAUCAAUAGCAUGUAGAUCAAUUCAAUAAAAUAAUAAAUUACUCAUAAAAAGAAUGAUUAAAAUGUAAUACUCCCCUGAUUGAAGAAUAAACUCUCUUUAGUGCAGCGUCAAGAGCGUGCUGAUAACGUGUUGUAGGCAUAAUUUACUGAACAAUUAUGGAGGCCAGAGAGAGAAGGAAGGUGCGGCAAUAGUAGAGAGAAAGAGAGAUGUGUAAUUGUUGGUGUGUUCUAUUCCAUCUCAUUGUGCCUUUAUUUAUAUUAGUAUGAUAGGUAAAAACUUUUCUCUUUAGGAUUACAACAUUUAAUAGGUAAUCAACUCCUAAUAGGAAUAUAAGAGAUAUUCCAAGAUAUACUAGGAUUUACACAAUCACAUUCCUAAUCUAAUAGGACUGCAACAAGGAUAUGAUAGAUUUUGAAGAAAAAUAAGGCAGUAUGUAUAUAAAAUUACCAUAAUAAUAAGAAGAUGUUAGCAGUCUAUUAGGGAAGGAAACAAAGACAUUAGCAUAAUAUAAUUAUGUGGAGACUAAAUACUUUAUCAUUCGUAUGACAAAUAAUUACAAUAAAUGAAAGAACUAAAAUUAUAUUAAUGUUUUAAUAACAAAAAAAUAUUAUAUUGAUUUAUUUGUACUUUCUUUAGGGAAGAAUCUAAAAAAAAAACAAAGCUGUAAUAUACUUAAGAUAUAGGGAACUUUAACGAAAAACACCUGGUACUGUUCACUUUAACGAAAAACCACAUUUUUACACUAAAAAGUCAACCUUGGUACUAUUCACUUUACCCUUUAUUUUGUCCUUAUCAUUAAAACUCAAAGUUUUCAAGCCCUUUUCAUUAGUUUUCCUUAAAAUAUAUACAGGAUAUGCCUCUUUUUGAUAAAACGCACGUUUUGACUUUUAAAAAGUACAACCAAUUUUAACGCACGUUUGAAUAUAGAUUUAACAAAAAUAAAAAAUUGAGAGCGUCUUCUUCACACCUCUGAACCAGAAACUUAUAACGCAGCCGCAAACCUACGCUGCUACGACUGCAUCAGAGUUCAACAAGUUGAUCAAGAUCAGCCUGGGUAAUUUGAAUAAAAAAGGGGCCGAUGUAGCGCAGGCUGAGCAACUGUACGGUUUCCCUCACGGAUUUGCAGGUUUUCCGACGGGGGGCGGAUCCAUCGUUCCUGUGCUUGAUUUCCGGCGAGAAAAGGUGUGGCCGCACCUCAUUACAGCUUCGCCCCUGCCACAUGUCAUGUUAUACUUGGAUAUUAAAAUGCAUAUGAAACCAUUGCUGGGAGUGUUUAGUAGUUUGUCAUCUUUCCACUUUAGGGCAUUAUUAAAGCUAAAAACAUUAUAAUUAGCUUUGGAAAAAUUUUAUUUGAACCUAUAUAAGCUUUUUCUACACCCAACUUAAACUUCAAAUGUAAAUUAGUUUUUACCUUAUUGCAUAAUUACCAUCAAGAACAAUAUGAAAUUAACAACAAAAUUAAAAUUUAUCAAUAAACCCACACCUAAUAAUCCAACAUUACUAUCACAUCAAACCCAACCACUAUGCAACUUAUUCUACGAUCAUUCUAGCUAAAACCUUAAAUGCUCUUAUAGAGAAAAACAAACUCUUUUAACCGAUAGAUGAUGAUUUUAAAGUUUUAUAUCCACCAAGGUAUGAAUCGAUAUAUACAAGUUUUUUCAUUUCAAAUCCAAAGCAUAAUUACUAACAGAUUCGCUACAUGAUUUUUAUUCAAACUUAGAUUUUCAAAGUUCAAAGGCGUAGGUAUCAAUGUUAAGUGUGGUCAUUGUAAUUGCUAUUCAACCAAUUCUACAUGCAUAUCCCUACAUUUGUUCGUUGAAUUUUACAAAAAUUUUAAAUGCAUAUUCAACAAAUUCUACAUGCAGAUUCCUACAGGCCAGGUAACAUAUCGACCCUUGAUUUCUCUGAACUUACUCAAUUGAGUAAACUCGAUUUUAUGAAUAAUCACUUCGAUGGUUUCUUGCCAAUAAACCUUUACUCAUGCAAACCAUCAAAGCACUUCGACUGACUGCAAAUAAUCUUGAGGGACAAAUACAUAUUGAGAUUUUUUGUUGAAAUAGUUGCCUUCCUCUCGCUUUCUGAAAACAGAUUGACCUAUGCCACCAGGGCAUUUAAGAUAUUGAUGGGUUCAAAAGCCUAGGGGUACUCAUUUCAGGCAAUUUUCUCAGUGAAGAAAUGACAGAUGGUGGUAUUAUGGUUGCUUCUUCUGGGUUCUAAAUCUAUCUAUUCUCAGCUUCUAUAGGUGCCAAAGUGCAUGGUUGUUGAAUCUCAAGAAACACAAAGUUAACAGACUCACUGGCCCGGGUUGGUUGGGGACAUUUUAAAUUUUUUUUUCCUUUUUAUAUUGAAUAAUAACUUAAUUUGAGAAGAAUUUCCCAUGGAGCUUUGCAUGCUACAAGCGUUGUUAUCACAAAAUGCUGCAAACCAAACAGGCUAUAACUAUGUCGACUUUCCCAUUUACUACCAACAGGUUAAUGCGUUUGUUUUCUAAAUGGGUUAAGAAAAAAGUUAUAUAUUGAAUUGGGAUUAAGAGGGUAGUUUAGGUCAUAAAUUUUGAGUUUGAAGAGAUAUUGAUUGUUUAAUUAAAAAUAAUAUGGGUGCAGAGAAUAAGUUGGGUAUAGAUAUAGGUUAUAUGGGUUCAAAUAAAAUUUCUCUUAGCCUUUCGAUUAGUAUGGUACGUGAUGUUUUUUUAAUGCGAUAUGAGAAUAACUUUUAUAAAACGGGUUAAUUGUUGCGUGAUGGCUUUGAAGAAAGUUGAGACUCUGUCGUAAAAUCAAUUGGCAAUAUAGAGAAUAAUUCAUCACUUGUCAACAUGCAAAGUCCCUUCCUUUCUCGAUGUAAAAUUCAUAAUCUCAAUAUGCCCCCUCAACAUAGUGAUAUCUACAGUUAUCCUUUAUCCAAAGAGAUCCCCAUUUUUGGGUUAAAAUGGGGACUAGUAGUAGGGUCCACUUCACGUCGAACUUCAACGAUCCAAACCUUCUAUUUUGUAAAUCUUGAUUCAUAAAUCAUCCUUCUAAAAUUUCAAUUUAAUUUGAAACUAUUUGCCUAUUUAAUUAUAACGAUGAAAUUUCAUUAUUUCUUAUAUAACAAAGUGUUCGUCAAUUUCUUUAAAACUCAAUUAGAUGUCUCAAAUAUUAUCGAUUUGGCUAAUAUUUUACAAAGAUGAUCUAUGAGGAUUCAUUCCCUUAAAGUUCUCUGCAAUAUAUAUUCAAUAAUUAACAUUAUCGUUUGGACUAAUUAUUGUUGAUCUGGUCUUGCCUGAUGUGAAAUAUGCAUAAUGUUGGACGUGACAGAUAGACUUGGCAUUAGUGUCGUGUUUUUUCGUGUUCGUGUUGUUUUCAUCGUAUAUCCGAUAUCUUAGCGGGUCAUGUCAUAUAACACUCUCAUAAAGUAAACGAGUAAUAUGACCCGACCAUAAAUUGACCCGUUAAUAUUAUCAAGUAAUAUGACCAGACCCGUUAUUCGUUAAAAAAAAUAUAUUUUAAAUCAUUAAAUAAUGAAUUAUAAAAAUUGAAAUUCGGUAAAUAGAAUAAAGCGUAAACGAGAAUCGACGGUUAAAUUUAAAUCUAAGAUUUAUGGAUUAUGAUGUUGGAUUUCGGAGUUGACCCUUUCACGAAAGUUGUAAAGUUUGUAAUUAGGAGUGGUUAUGUGUGUGUGUGUGUAUUUUACAUUUUUACACUCCUACAAUAAUUAUUAUUAUUUUUCACUCAAAUAAAAAAUAUUAUUCAAGAGAUUUGGAGGGUUUUUGUCACAGCCUGUCCUAGGAUAAUUUUAUCGAUGGUGUAAAAAGGACGGUUUUACCCUUAAACGUGGGUAGUGGUGUGUGUACAUGACUUAGUUUAGGUCCAAGUUAUUUUCCUAAGUAUGUGGAACUAAUUGGAAAUUAAGUUGUUUUGUUGUUUUGGUUGGUUGGAGUGGACAACUUUGGAUCACACAAAAACACAUACACACACACCCAUGCCUUCUCUCUCUCCUCCCUCUUUCGAUUUUCUGCAAUGUCCGUAUAAACCGUACGGACAACACUAAUCCGAACCAUUUAGUCAUAGAUUGAGGUUUUGGAAGCCAUCAUCAUCAUUCUUGUGAGUCUAGGAGUUGAUCCAUACUAUUUUUAAAACUUGAAACCCUCGAAACCCGGGAACCCGAAAUCCCAGUUUGAGGUAUUGUUCAUGCACAAAUUAUUGCGGGGUUUUUAGGAGAUUUUGAACUUCUAGGGAGCUUUAGAUCAUCUCCAUGAAGCUCGGAGAAGAAAAACGAGGUGAAUUGGACGUUAGGAAGCUCGGGAAUAGUGAGUUGCAGGGGUGACCAGAAUAUCAUGAUUUUUCAGGCAAGAUUCCAUCGUUUUUGGGGCUUUAAACAGGUAGGGAAUGUUCUACAAGUUAAGAGCUUCAAUUUGGUACUGAUUUCAUGAAAUUUGGAUGAAAAACGACUAAGAUAUAAAGGUUUAAAGUUUUUCCAGUUUUUCCGGUGACGGUGACGGUCCAACGAACCAAGGAAGGAGACGACGGAAUAUUCCAAUAGCGUUAGGUUAGUUUUAACGGUAUAUGCUACUUUUUAACGGAAUAUUCCCUAACGCCAUUAGGGUUACCGUCAGUGGCACGGCACGUGCCCGCACGUGUGGCCAUGCCUUAGCCGGCGCGUGACGACGCAUGGGGCAUCAAAAAUUUUUUCUAAAAAUAUGGGGGUGUUCGUGAGGUUGUGUAGAUCACGUUGGUAUAUUUAAACACCCCAUUUGAGCAAUGUAUGAGAAGUUAUUAGCUAGUAUUGGUUAUGUGCUUUAAAUUAAUGUUUUUUUAUAGCUGUUUCGAAUAUAGGGGGGACUUAUCCCGAGGAUGAGUGCAAUCAAGGGCGACUCGGGGGCUAUGACCCUUCGACAUACCAGUGAGUGGGCUUUUGGUUUUCAGUAUAUACUUAUAUACUUGAUAUUUUCCCAGAAAAUGCAUUUAAAUAAGUUAUGAUUUGAAUUGCCAUGCCAAACGUUUUAUAUUUAGAAUAUGCAUAUGAUGUUUGCAUAUAUAUAUAUAUAUAUAUAUAUAUAUAUAUAUAUAUAUAUAUAUAUAUAUAUAUAAUUGUGGUGCUGAGGACGCUCAGGUAAGUCCUAGGUGAGUUUAUGAAUUGUGAAUAUGAUUAACGGUUGUGAUUAAUUGAGAAACUUUGAGCUCAUAAACCUGCACCCCGGUGUUAAUGAUUUAGCCAGAGAUAUGGCACAGUCCUGUUUAUAAUGUCACCUCCCGCACCCUAUGCUCAUAUUGGAUCCAAUUUAGGUGCAAUCUUGUCAUAUAGACCAUCAUAAAUGGUUCCAACUCGUAGGUGACUAACGAUUUAUCGCAUAGCUAUCAUGAGUGCGUAGCAUUGAGCAUAACUAUAUUACACCCAGUCUUGUCAUAUAGACCUUUUCAGUGGUUCUGACUUGUGUGCAGUGUAGUGCCGUAUAGGUCAUUUGUAGUGACUCCGGCUAGAUUGACUAAUGAGCUAAGAAUUCAGCCGUACAGACUUCUGCAGGGGUUCCGGCUAAUGUGUUGUCUUCCAUGAAUUUAUUUUCACAUGAGUUACUUAUCUUGGCUUGGCAUACUUAUGAUUAUGAAUAUGUGUAGCAUGAUUUGAAUUCAUAUAUAUAUAGAUAUAUGUAUAUAUUUAUAUUCUAUUUCUGGGAAAAGUAUACAUGUUUUACGGUGAGGGAUUAGAGCAUUUGAAAGUUAAAUGUGUUCUCAAAACCUUUGUUUUUGCCCACUCACGUUUUAUGUUUUUGCACCCCUCCAGGUUUUAGGUAGACUUACUGUUGGUGGCAUUUGAGGAUUCAGCGGUUAUGACAAAAUAUAAUAUUCGUAGGACCUCUUCUGGUACUGUAUAACUAGUACUUGUCUUACUGGACUGCACCUAGACUUUCUAUGCUCUGAUUAGGAGUAUUUACACUUGUAUCUCAUUCCUAAUACUUUCCGCUUAUAAGUGCACAUUAGUAGCUUUCGGUUUUUAUUUAUUUGUAUAUUUCUUAUCCUUAUCGCUUCCGUACUGUGCACAUGGCUACGUCACCCUCACGUGACGACCAGCACACCUUGAUUUUUGGUCAGGGUGUGUCAGUUUUAAAAAACUAAACAACCAUGUAAUCAUCGUCUAAGUGUAGAGGACCCAACCACAAGCAUUUAUAUAUACUUUCACAUUUUUAGACUUGUACAUUAAUAAUUAUGAACUUUAUUUAUUUUGAACUCCCUUAAAAUACUAUUCAUGAGGGUUUGUAUGAUUUUAAAAAUUCAAACGACGAUGUACCCAUCCUCAAAGCAUAAAUGAUGCAAUCACGAGCGUUUGCAUAUUUUUUUCACAUUUUUCGCUCUUGUAAAUUAAUUUUUUUAAUGUGUUUGGUAUUUUUAAAUUACUUGAUAUUUUUAUUUUUAACGUGCCUUAUAAUUUUUUUUAUCUCAUUCUUUGCCUAUAGUAUAUUAUAAUAAAUAAUAAAUAAAUAAAACUCAAAAAAGUUUAAAUGAAAUAAUUAUACAAUAAUACAUAUUUAAUAUACAAUAUAUACAUAAAUUAUAAAGUAUUGUAUUUUAUAAUAAAAAAAUUUUUGGUGACAUCCCGCCAUGAGAUUUAUUGUAUUUUAUUCUUAGUAGUAGUGAAAUUAUCAAAAUACAUUUGAGAUGCCACGUUGACCUUCCACGUGGACCUCAAUUUCCAUUUCACUUUUCCAGUCUUAUUUUACUAUUUCCAAAUAGCACUCAUUUUUACAAGCACGUGGCCGUAGACGAAACUCAAUUUGGAGUUUAUAAUGAAGAAGUUAUGUUUGAAACAGUGUAAAUUUACCAAAGAUCAAGGUUCUAAAAAGCGCUAGGCACUAGUCAGGCGGCGGGCUAGCGCCUAGCGCCUAGGCGACUAGGCGGGGUCUAGGCAGGCGCCUAGGCAGAUUUAGAUAAAUUUAUUGUAUAUCUUGUAAAUAAGUGCAUAUUGACACUUACAAAAAAUUAUACUUGUAUGAAAUUCAUGGAUAAGAUAAUAAAAUAAUGAUAAAAUGCAAAAAGAGUAUCCAACAAUGUCUCUCCAAUAGAUAGGAUUUUUUUAUUUUUUAAUGAACUAGAUUGUAUAAGAUGAAAGUUCAUAUGAUAAUAAGUACGUAUUACUUAAUAAAUAUUUUUUUAAAUAUUAUUUAUUAUAUAGUGAACUUAAAAAAAAGUAAAGGUGUAAACAUUGUGGUUUGUAGUCUGUAAAAAGGAAGGUGGGGCGUGCUGCACCAAAAAGGGGUGUGGGGCACACCACACCAAUAUUCAAUGUAUGUUUGACAAUUGAUUAGAAGGUAAUUACUUUAAAAAAUAAAAUAAAACAUAAAGUGGAGUGGACGUCUGUCACAUGGGGGAGUGGGAAGAGAGAGAAACACAUUUCUAUCUUCUUCUUCUUCCUUUCUUCUUCUUGAAACGCAGAAAGGUAGAAACAGAGCAACGCAGCUCUCUGCAACGACAAAAAGUUUAAAACGCCCAGACCGCCUAGGCCAUCGAGUUGUCCACCUAAGCUACCUCCGCGCCCGCCUAAUCCUUUUGUUGAUUUUUCUCCCGAUUAUGGGCUAAUCGGAGCGGUUGGCCACCUUGUAACACCUAGGUGCUGCCAAGGCCGAUUUUUAGAACACUGCCUGAGAUAAAUUCAAAUUUAAAAAACUGACCUCGUGCAGUGUGCAUCACUGCUUUGUUCGGCCUAGGAAAAAAAAUCAGCCUUAAAAUGAUGAGGGAUGGCCAUGCAAGUGCUUACACAAAUAUUUUUAUGGGUUUUUUUUUUUUUUUUUUUUUUUUUUGAGUUGAGUGAUAUUGUCAUUAAGUUAGAAAUUAUUUUGCUACUGACGGGGUUCGAACCCACACCAUCAUGCAAGGGUGUCAUUCCUCUUCACCACCAUGGUAGAGGGCCAUUUGCAUUUUUAUGGGUUUUGAAACCCACACCUCUAUGGCAUCAUCCAUCAGACAUCAUUUUUUUUUCUUUUUUUUUUUUAAAUACAUUUUCUUUCUCUCCUUUUCCCUCUCUCUUACACACAUACACGCCAUAUCCCGUCAUUUUUCCCUCACGAUUCCGUUUUCCCCUAUUUUUCCUCAUUUCAGGCGAUUCUCUCUCUCUACCCACUCAACCUUACUCUCCCCCUUUAGGUGAACAUCACCACCACCAAUCCAAAGCUCCAUCGACACCUCCCAAAUUCUCCCAAAAAUUAUCUAGGACCGUAUGCAACUCCUUGGUGGUGCCACACUAGGAUGAAACAAGGUUCCCGUUUUGGUGUUCGAUGAACUUUGGUGAAUUGAAACUUCUCGGACCAUGGUAAGCUUGGGAUUUCUAUAUGUUUAAAGGACAAAUAUCUAACCCACCAUGUUUUCCGGCAAGUUGUAGGAUUUUUCAUGCCAAACCUGGCCAAACCCUGUUGAUUUGGUUGAGUUUAAAGGUGUAGGACAACUUUAAUCUCUAGGCCAGGGAUUUGAGCUUGCAUGUUCGAAUCCCCUCUGUUCAGAAGGUUCCAAGUCGGGCAGUAGCUUUUAGGCCAUUUUUUGAGCAGCUCUAAAAUGGGUAUAAUCUUAUUCCUCUCAUCCUAAGCUUCGUUUUGAUAUAUUAUGAGUUAAAUUUGGUUGUGUAACGGCUCCGAAUGGGGCAUUUGAAUUUCUUCCUAAAAUUACGACGAAAAUCCUGUUCUUGUGCAAACUGGGAGAAAUUAGAAGUAUUAUCAGUUUUGUGAAUAAUGGAGUAAUUUUUCCAUUUAGGAGUAGACCAUCAGGAGGAGUACCGCAUGCAGAAUAGUUGGACGGGUACGACCUACAUGUAUUUGUGAGUGGGUCUUUUCGUUUUUUACGUAUAUAUAUGUAUAUGUGAUUUUUCUUAACAAUUGCUUUUAUUACUAAAAUGUGACAUGCCAUGUUUAGUUUUACAGAUAGACUUUUUGUACACUUUAUAUUUUUAAUAUUAUUUGUGAGUAUAAACUUGUGGUAUGAUAUCCUUGCGUUUUAUCUGCUCAUUAUUACAUGUUUGCACAAUGUUUCUUAGUUAUUUGUACUGUUUUGGGCCAAUGACCAGCUUCACGUAUAGUUCACAUGCACCAUUUACAUACACUUUGGAUCCAGAGUUAGGUGCCAACCGUCCUUUUGUGUGAUGUUUUGGACUCGUAUGUGAUGCGACUAGCGCAGCUCACGUGAUGUAGUACCAGAAUGUAAAACCUACACCCAGCUUGUUCCAUUGUUUGAAUAUAUCUACAAUGGACUUGUGUGCCAACGUAAAUUAAUAAGCAUUGAUUUCUUGUGUUAACAUUUUGAGAUUUAAUGUUGAGAUACCUUAUCGGUGUACCCUACAUCUUUUCACUCACUUCUGCUGCAGGGUACCGUAUUACAUACUAGUAUUAUAAUAUUUUUGAAAAAUCAUAUACUUGUUUUACAGCGAGAUGUUACACUUUUCGAAAAGGUUUUACAAACUUUAUUUUCAGGCCCACUCAUCCUUAUUUUUUCGCCCCUCCAGGAUUUUAGUGGCAAAGGUUUCAUGACGAUGAUGAUUGUUGGUAAAAGCUGUUAUGUAGGAGACUCUUCCUUUCAGUAUAAAUGUCCUUACUAUUCUUUUACUGCAAUUUAUCUAUACUUUGACAUCACUUGUGUAAUAUAGAUUCAAUCCCGCUUACAUGCGCACUCUAAAUUAGUUACUUUUAGGUUUUAAUUUUUUCACAUUUUUUCACAUCACUAUGCUUUUGGGGGUCGGCCAUCACAUCGCGAUUUUGGUGUCUACAUGGACAUGCUGGGUCGGGGUGUCUCAUUUUUAGUAGUUAAAAAAAUUUAAAUCAUCAAAAUAACUUUUUCCUUAACGUGUCAAAAUGGGUUACUAACGUGUCACUCUUGUGUAAACCCGUUAAGACCCUAUUAUUAACGGGUUAUUAUCAUGUGACACAAUAAUGAUCCGAUUAGUUAUUGUGUUGACUCGAAACUCGUAUUUUCGUAUCGUUUACGUGUUGUGUUAACGAAUUGUGUAAUAAAUUGCCAUAUCAAGUGGGAGGGGACAGACAAAUUUAUUUCAACAUUUGACGCGUCAUCUCAAUUGGAGUUUGAUGUUUCUAACAUUCGCCAUUAAUCCUGGAAUUAUCAUCAUACAAAUCAUCAUGGAUCUGGAGCAUUAACAAUAUGAUUAUGUAUUCUUUAAUUUUUGUUUCGAAUAAGAGAAAAUAAGAUGCGUUUGUACACUUACAUAGGCUGAGACUUUUAUCUUUUUUAUUUCAUUGAAGUCCUAUAUUCAAGAAUACCAAGACAUCUAGUUUUUCCUAGAAUAAAUUGCGGUUUGACCUCUUAAACUAUUACUUAGUUGAAAUUAACCAUCUAAACUAUUAUUUUGAUAAAUUAGCCCACUGAACUAUUUAAAAUCAAUCAAUUAACCAUUGCCGUUAGAUUGUGGAAUCAAUUCCGUUAGAUUCAAAGCCAAAUUAAUCAUUUCCUCAUCAAUUGUUAUUUGUCAGUUAUAACCAUCAAUAAAAUUUUGACACAUUGACACAAAAUAAUUCAAAAACAUAUAGCAUAACAAGAAAACAUAAAAGAACCAAAAUUUUACAUAACAGACUAUCUCACAUUGUCAUUACACAAUGUCAUAAGUUCAUUAGUGGUUAUAGUUGAUAAGUAAGAAUUGAUGAAUGACAGACUAAUUUUUCAUUGAAUUUGACCAAAUGGGGGAUGGAAUCUACUGACAAGGGGUCAAUUGCAUAAUUUCAAAAUAUUCAAGAGGCCAAAUGGCAGUUUACCCUUUUUCCUACUCAAAAUUUCCCAAAGUAUUAUGGUUUUAUGAGACAAGCAAAUUGUGUGUGGAGUAGUUCAUACACAUGAUAUCUACUACAUGAUAACUAUUUAAAUUACAAUUAAUCCCCGUAUAAUUUUCUUCAUUAUCAUUACUUAAGGGAUCCUUAAGCACAGAUUGAUGAGAUUUAAAUCCUAUAUUUAUGGGGUCUAAAAUCCUAUAUAUUAUUCAUGAGACAGAAGUUGACCACACAAGUAUUUUCCCCGGGACCUGGCUUCUUUGCCCUCCCAGUUCUCAUACAUUCUCAUCCCCUCCUGUUUGUGCGGUCACGAUUACGUCAAGUCAACAUUUUAUAUCACUAUUGCUUUUUGUCUUAUUAUCUCUAUAAAAAAUAAUUAUAAAAUAUUAACGUGACUUAACCAUGACCGCACAAAAUAGAAUGGGGAUAAGAGUGUAUGGAAACUAUAAGAGCAAUUCCACCCCUAAGGACUUUACGCCAGCACCCAGCGCAUUUAUCCACUCAAAUGAACAGUAACAGACUCCAAUGAACAAUAAUAGGCCAAGGCAUCUCCACCCCUAAAAAAAUGCGCUGGCACCUAGUGAAAAAAUGCGCUGGCACAAACGAUCUCCAUCCCUACAAAAUGCGCUGGCACCCAGCCCAUUUAAAAUAUUUUUAAAUUUUGUCUAAAAGAAUAAAAAAAUAAAAUAGUUUUAAUUUCGGAUAGGAUUUUUAACCAAUCUCGUCACGCCACAUGUCAUUAUUUGAACGUACUAUUUUGUGAAUAGAUUUCCGCUAAGAUUUUCAACCAAUCCCGACACGCCACGUGUCACUUCCGUUUUACAAUAAUUUAGCCAAGAUUUCGAUAAGAUUUUCAACCAAUCACGUCAUGUCACGUGUCAUUAUCUGAACGUACUAUUUUGUGGAUAGAUUUCCGAUAAUAUUUUCGACCAAUCCCGACACGCCACGUGUCACUUCCGGUUUACAAUAAUUUAGCCAAGAUUUCGAUAAGAUUUUCAACCAAUCACGUAGUGCCAAGUGACAUUGUCCAGAACCAAUCGGGUCAUGAGUAGUGUGAACCCAACAUUCACACAACAUAACAUCUUCAAUAAGCUUCCACGAAGACAUUUUUUUCUCUUAAAGUGUAGAAAAUAUUGAAAUGUGGUGUAAAGGUAGAAGAUGAGGGUUAGGUAUUUAUAGGAAAAAAAUUAACAUUUUUCAAAAUUUUCUGAAUUUUUUUUAAAAUUUUCUGUAUUUUUUAAUAAUUUUUCUGUAUUUUUUAAUAAUUUUUAAUGAAUUUUAAUAUAGUUAAUUAAUCUGGACCGUUGGAUUUGAAAAAUAUUCAAAUCCAAGAGCUAGGGACUUGCCACGUGGCCAACGGUCAUAUUUAUGACCGUUGGGCUGUUUUUUUUUUUAUUUAUUUACUUUUUGUGAAAAAAACGUGGACCGUUGAUCUAUGAUCGGACGGUCCAUUUUAAAAGUCAAAUUUAAAUUUUUUUUACUGUUGGAAAUCCAACGGUCUACAAAAAAUAGCCGUUGGAAAUCCAACGGCACUGAGGAGGGCCACGUAGCCCUAUUCCUGGUGAACACAAGUGGGCUGACAAGCGGGCCCCCUGCCUACAACCCGGUCUGCUACUCGCGCACAAGCGCGCUUGUGCUGCACACGCCUGCUAAACUGGCCGGCCUCUGGGUCUGUCCGAAAUGGGCUGGCCUGUUGCCCGGCUUGGGCUGUGUGCCAGGCUCUUUGGCAGGCUGGAGCAAAUUGACAAGGAGCUGGGCAGUUUUUUGGACUAGGUGCUGGGCAAUGUCCACUGGGGUGGAAUUGCUCUAAGGCAGAGAAGCCGGAUCCUUUUCCCUGAUGGGAGCCAACAUCAUUCUCACUGUUACUAGUAGGGACGACGUCGCCUAGCUUAUGACAAAGGUAAUUCAUGGAUAAAUAUUUGCUGCCUUUUUAUUUUUUAUUUUACUUCUUGUCAGCUAGUAGAAACAUCUCUACAUAUAAAAUGAGGAGAAAGUGAAGUUUUCAAAAUACUAUAAAAUACCCUCCAACCAAUAAUUAGAGAUUUAAAAUACUACCAUUUAAUUAGUGAGGGACACAAUAGUAAAUUUAGAACAAUUUGAAUGAUAUUAAAAUCUUAAACAAAAUAAAUAAUUCGAAAAAAAGAAAACCACAUUUGCGGUGUCAUGGCUUUGCUUCAUUUUUUUUAACAAAAACAAUCCUAAAAACAUAAUUUAAUAUAAAAAAUCAAAAUACCGCGCACGUAUGUGCAUGAUAAGAGGCUAGACUAGAUAUAGCUAUUAUUCGUCUUCCAUAAAUUCAAAGUUAGUGGUAGAGUUGUCGAAAUGAGCUUGAAGGGGAAAUGUAUGUUAAACUAUUCAAAAAAACAUAAUGUUAGAAAGAUUAAAUUUAUAGAUAAAAUUUACAAACUAAAUAAUGUACCAACAAUGAGAAUGAGAACUUUUAUGACUUAAAUCAUAAUCUAAUCAUCAAUUUUCAUAUCAUUUAGUUUGCAAAAGUUUAUCUACAAAUUUAAUUUUCUUAACAUUAUCUAUUAAAGAAUGUAUACUUUUAAUGAGUUGAAAUAGGCAGAAACACAGCUAGAAAGUUAGCCCAUCUGGUGAUGUUUUUUUUUUUCGGUAACAAAUCUGGUGAAGCUUUCAUUUUGAUAGAAGAGAAUAAUCAACAACAACUCAAACAAAAUAGGAACAAAAUGGUAAUUUUACAUGUUUUAAAUCAAUAUUCAAGCACACAUCGUGGGGAGGGGGGGGGGUUAAUUAUUCAUCUUUUGGUUUUGAAUUUUUUAUUUAAAAAAUAUGCAACCAGAUUUAAAAAGACAACAACUACACCCGACAGAAUCAGAAAAGCGGGAUAUCUAGGACCCGGAUCUGUAACACAGUCAUCCCAUAAGAUUUCCCUUAUCAACAUGUGUAAAAUGAAGACCCAGUUGGGGUUUAUCCCCUUAAAAUAACCUAAUUUGGUGGUACAGCAUUACAUACCUCCUUAAAAUAACCUAAUUUGGUGGUACAGCAUUACCUACCUCCUUAAAAUAACCUAAUUUGGUAGUGCAGCAUUAGACCCACACAAAACAUAUCAUAUUAUAUGACGUGCUCGUUUUCAUUUGGAAAUUCAAUAGAUUAUAGACUCCGCAUUAUCCGGCACCAUAUUCAAUCAAAGCAAAAAUUGAGUACUACUAGACAAACAAAAGGAAACCAACUCAAAGCGGCAUAGGGUCGAAAGCGAAGCAAAAUGCAAUAUCUUUCAUAAAUUUCCCCACAUGGGUGAAGUCGUCUCCUCUUUUGUAAAGUAGAUCCACAAUUAUUGGACUAGUAGAAAAACUACUUGCAUCACAAAACUUUAGGUGAAGAAGUAAAUUUUGUGUUCAAGUACACUUUGCGUGACAAAAAAUAUGUAUGCCGUUGUGCAAGAUGUCUAUCCAAAAAAAAAAAAAAAAAAAACCAAAACCUUUGCGUGACAAGAAAGUUUUUUGGGCAAGGAUGAUUGACUCAAUGACAGUUUUUGUUCGUCGUUAAAGACUCAAAAAAAUUAGCGGUAAAUUGAGAAUUUGAUGCUCAAUUUUGUGCGAAAAAGAAUUAUAUUGCGCAAUGAAUAGUUUCGUUGCCUCGAAAAUAGUGGUCGAUGAAUGGCUUUCAAACCCCUAUUGGACGACCAAUGAUUUUCUAGCUAAUUAGAAUAAUUGAAAUUAAAAUUUUGUAGAUGUCAUGUUUGAUAUUACACACGAUUCCGCUGCUGCUCUAGCAGUUUCUCCAUAUGGCUAGGCAUUCCACAAUGCAAUAUUGAUAUGUGAGGGAGAAGGAUCACAGACAGGUAAAACCCAAUUUGUAUGGAUAUUACGGUUGUUUUUUGUUGCAAAUUUAAUUUCAUAAUUAUAAUAGGUCCUACACCAAUGUUUACUUAUCAUAUACCUCUCAAUUUUCGGCUAUGGAUCAAAUAAAUUAAAGAAGAUUAAUAAACAAAAAUUAAUAAAAAUGUGUAAAAGCAUAAAAAAAAAUGUGAAUAACACUAUCCUAAAAGUAAAUGUUGAUGAUUAUACUUGGUUAUUUGAUACAAGUAUUAGUCGGAUGUGGACAACAUGUAAAUGGAUAAAAAUAUUUGCUGCCUUUCUAUUUUUUAUUUUACAUCUUGCCAGCUGAUAGAAACAUCUGAGCAGAGUGUCAUAAAAGCAAGAUAUCUAGGACCCCGGAUCUGUAACACUGUCACUGCGUAAGAUUUGCCUUAUCAACGUGUGUAAAAUGAAGACCAAAUAGGGGUUUGUCCCCUUAAAAUAACUAAUUUGGUACUACAGUAAAUAGAUACAAAUCCAGAACCACACGAAACAUAUGAGAUUCUAUGACGUUUUCGCUUUUAGCACUAGACCUGGGUGGUAUGGGAAUGAGAUGCUUAAAAAAAAAAGCAAGUAUGAAAAAAAGCUAUGAGGAUUUUAGGUGUUUGGUAAACUGAAAAAAAAUGGCUUAUUUUGGAAGCUGCUGUGAGAAUAAGCUAAAAUCAAAGGAAAAAGCUGAAGCUGCUAUUUGCAGCUUUGGAAAACUGGUUUUUUUUCAAAGCACACGGAGCUACAGUGCUCCUUUAAUGAAAAGACCCACUAUCAGACUGCUUUUUUUUCCAAAAGCAUUUUUACAAAAAAGUUUACCAAACACUUUGCUGAUUUAUUUCACAGCCGCUUAUUCUCACAACACAACCGCUUAUUUUCACAGCAAUUUUUUUUCAAAGCACAGCAAUACCAAACCAGCCCUGGCAUUGCCAAUAUAUGUGGAGCCGUCUCCUUUUUGUAAAGCAGGUCCACAAGGACCAAAAUCCUGGUGAAAUUAGGAACACGCACGAUGACAAACCCUUGCACGGCAAUUGGUCUAAGAACUCCUCGUUUAUAUCCUUCCUCAUAUCCAUUACUUGUUUGUUAAAUACAUCAAGCGUCUCUUGCUCAGACACCUUAUAUUGCUCCAUAUAGCAAUCAAUACUAGAAAGUACAUACCUCCUUCUUUCUAAAAUAAGUUUUGGGUAAUAACCUAAACUUUGAGCAAUUUAAAAUUUAAAAUUCAUUAAAUCCAAAGGCUGAGAUCGAACAUGAUCAAAACUACCAGUAAAAAAAUAAAUAAAUAAAAUAAAAUAAAUAAAUCUAACUUUCCAAAAUUAAAUCCAACUGCUAAAACAAUUAAAAAAAUGUUUAAAUAAAUUCACAUAAAAACUCUAUAAAUACAUGUUUCAUAGAGUCGGUUUAGUGAAUUUUUAAUUUUUCUUGGAAUCCAAAUAUUUAUAGGUCAAAAUGUGCAUAAAAAUAAAUUAUGAAAAUCAACAUAAAUUUUAUUUUGAAAAAAGUUACCGAAUUUUUUUUAGUGUAAAUUCAUUUUUUAUUAAUCUCAAGCUAAAUUUUUAACCUAAAACUAUUGGAGCAAAAAAAAACUAUUUCUGGGUUACAAAAUUUAGGUUUUAACCCAAAAGUUGAAGAUGAUUUAAAGAGAAAUUUAGUAACUUUAAUACAGCUUAUAUUAUUCAAUGUAAUGAGAAUUGUACCUUAUGCCCCCAAUGUCAUCCAUGAGCCUAAAAAUGAUAUUGGAAGCUCGAGAAUUUUGGGGUUUAUUGCCUAUUGGACAAGCACUGAAAUACCUCAUUCGUUACAUUAUCUUCCAUGUCAACCACACAUACAGUUGAAAGUAAGGUGUUACCAACAGAAGCCGUUGCAACGUGUAUAUACUCCAUGAUUGGAAUGAAUCGUUUGCAUAACCAUCUAGGCUCAUCAAAGUAAGCUUGGGCAGUAGCUUUCCGCUGUAUUUGACAAUGACAUGUGUGAAAACUUAAACUUCGUUAGUUAAACUAGCCUUAAAAAAACGUAAAGUUCAAUAGUUUGAGAAGAUAAAAACCGAAGCUCUUUUAAUACCCAUAAAAUGAAAACUAAAAACUAAAUUUUGAAAACUCAAAAAGAAGCUUUUAAUUUUUAAUUUUUUAUUGAACUCUGACAAAUAUUUCAAAUUUUUGUCAGGUAAGCAUUGUUUUCAAAUUUUUGUUGGGUAAGCGUUGUUUCUCUCUCUCUCUCUCUCUCUCUUUGCAAUUCAAUCUCUCUACUCUCAGCCUUCUCUCUCUCUCAACUCGCUCUCAGUCUCUUUAUUCUCUCUCAAAUCUAGCUCUCGACCCCUUGUAUGCAGACAUUUUAUCAUGCACUUGUUAAUCCUUUCAAUGAAAUUGAGGAAGAGAUGGUAAUAGAAGGAAAGUCAUACCGAGUUCGUUAUGCAAAAGAAGUUGUAUUUAACACAUGCAUGCUUUACUAGUUUGAUUAACUUUUACUUUUUUAGUAGCUUUGGCGUUAUAACUAUUUCGUUUUUAUUUUUCACCUUUUUAAAAAAAAUUGCAAUACUUGUUUAGUUUAGGUUUAGGUUCAGAGUUUAGGGUUUAGUAAAAAAAAUGAAAAAUCGAAAGCUGUUUUUGAGUUUUCAAAAUUUAGUUUUCAGUUUAUGGGUUAUCAAACAAGCCCUUUUUUUGUUUGAUUAGUUUGGGACCAUAAGUAAACGAACAGAAAAUAAGGAGUAAGGAAAUGAUAGGAAAUAAAAAAGGCAAAAAGAGAAAGGAAAGAAAAAAAUUGUUUGCUGUUGCUUUAGGCCCACACGGGCAAAAGCAAAAAAUGGUUAAGUUUGUUUUUAGGUCCACACGAGUUGUUGGUAUGUUUGGAAUUGUUUUGUGAUCGUUAUUUGAGUGCUUGGAUUGUGACCACUCGAGUGAUAGUAUUUGUAUUGUUUGUUUGUUGCUACAAUUGAGAUAUGAAAAUCUCGUUUGUUUAGUGACUUGUUCUUUCUAUACUCUCAACUCUAGCCAGUCGGAACCAGAAUCAGUUUACCAGUAAGAAUCAAGAAUCAAGUCAAGUUUGCAAGUUUGCCAGUCAAGUCAAGAAUCAAGUCAAGUUUGUCAGUCAAGUCAAGUCAAGUCAAGUUUGCAUGCAUGCCAGUCCGCCUAACAGAGCCAGUCCGCAUCUGCUUGUUUGCAAACCCAUGUCGUAUAUCGCCAUGAGUUUGACGGGGGGUGUUGUAAAAUAUUAGUAUAUUUUGGUUUAUUUGAAUGUUUGGUUUUCUGGGCUUAGCCCGUUAGCAUUAAGGUUUUGAUUUCUUACCUUUUAGGAUUAUGGUUAGUUUAUUAUAAAUAGUGUGCUUGUUAUUCAUUUGAGAAUAAGUCAUUCACAAUGCAGUCUCUUAGGGUUUUGUAGCCGUUUCGGCAUUCUCAGUUAGUUUAAUAAUAUUCUUAUUAUUUUGUUAGUAUUGUUCGUUGCGCACUCUGAUAUUCAACUAUAAGGCCAUCUCUGUCCAUGCAAUAGCCUGAUGAACAAAAGUUACAAAGAAAAAUAACCAUAACAACACGUGCCGACAAAAAGGAAAGAAAGAAAGGAAAAAUAACCUUGUAACGGCUCUCAUAUCACCGUGCCAAGACGGCCUCAAGAGAUGUACAAACUUUCUUGUAAUCAGCAUGGGCAAUUGCUGCUCCAAGGAGAACCAAAGCGUAGCCUGUAUUACGAAAUUUGUUGGCAGAAAAAAAGAAGAGCGAGAUGAUCAAUUGAAGGUUGGAUCACGAGAGGAGGUCGCACCAUUCCUCCGGAUCUCGUCGGGACAAUUGGCAGAGAAUUGUCGUUCUGGGGAAUCAUCCUAAGCAUAUAAAUUGUUGGCUUCAGGAAAAACGUAAUCUUUAUAUAAAGCAAUACUUUGUUUAAAUCAAACCUUCUAAUUGCUUCUGUAAAGAUGUCAAGUUCCUUGAGAUAUCGUUGGUAUGCAGACGGGACGGGACGGAACAGAAUGGGACGGGACAGAACGGAGAGGGAGUAAAGAUGCCCUAAGAUGGAAACAAGGAGGAAGAAGGAGAUAGAGAGAUUAUAAUUUUGUGUUCCACAGAUGUGGAACGAGUCGUUCCAGGGAGUGAGGCGGAAUAAAAAUUCACCCAAAAUUCGUCCCGUGGAACAACGCGUUCCACCCGUUUUAGGUGCAUCAAACAUGAAACGGAACAUCUUGUCCCAUUUUAUUUUAUCCCAUCCUACGUACCAAACGAUACCUGAAUGUACCAAAUGCGUUGUAGAUAUCAUCCAUUACUGUCCCCAAAGCAGCGACUUUUUUUUUUUUUUUUUGUGGAAACCAAAGCAAUGACUUUGGCAGUAACUUUUCCGGCGGUAGAGUAAUGGUGUUCAAAAAAGUACUCCAGUUGUCCAAAAGUACAAUUCAACUAUCCUGUCUCUUGCAAACGGCAUCUUUCUUUCAUACUCAGAGUUCUUUCCACCGGAAAAAGAUCUUCGCCGAAUUCUUUUCCAAGAAAUCCGGAGGAUAUCGUGAUCUUAACUGUUUAUCGUACAUCGUAUAGUCAUAAAUUAUUUUAAAUUAAAUAUAAAUAGUAUCUAACGAAAACUGACAGCACGAUAUACGAUGAACGGUCACGAUCACAGAAUCCCCUGCAUGCCCAGGAAAAGGAUCCGAUGAUUUCUACCAUCUAAAACAUUUACAAAUUGGAUCUUAACUCAUCCCUAUAGGAAUAUUUUUCUUACAAACUAUCUCUUAUGCUCAAAUAUAAAAUAAAGGGUAAAUUUUAGUUUACUACCCUUAAGUUUCGUGGUUUUCAACAUUUGGUACAUGAAAUUUUUUUCGUCCCAAAGUCAUACCUAUAGUGUUAAUUUUGGAACAGUCUCAUAAAUUUGUUAGUUUGGUUGUUAAGUCUCCCGUUAACUGAUGACGUGGCACUUAUGUGGACAGUGACUGGGCACUACAUGUCAUUAAGGGGUCUAUGUGGAAUAUUUUUUUAUUUUUUAGAAAGGGUCCACGUGGAAAUUUAAAAUUCAAAAAAAAAAAAUUCCCUCCCAAAAUUUUAACCCAUAAUUGUGUAUGGCCUUUUUUUUCCCGCCACAAUUUUUUGAAAAAAAAAAUCAAAUUAAAUAGGGAAAAAACAAUUUUCUAUUCCAAAUCUCCAUAUUCAAUUCCAAACAAACCUUUAAUUCUAAAUCUGCAAAUUCAUCCUUUAAACUACCAACUACCAACAAAGUUCACAACAAAGUUUCAAGGAUUCACAACAAAGUUCAAUUGUCAAGAACUUUCAAUUCACAACAAAGAUCAAUAUUCCAAGUUGUACACCCUACAAUUCACAGGAAAGUAUCAAAAGACCACAACUUUAACAACUAAUGGGCCAAGGUGUUCUUCCAAAAUAUAAGUACACAAUUAAACCAAAAUAAGAGUACCAAAAACACCAUAGAUCUGUCCAAAACACUAAAGAUCUAUUCUAAAGUUGUUUCAAAAAAAAACUAAGGGCAUAUUCAUCUAUAACAAAAUGAACCCUUAAACAACCUAAAACAUUAAAGCAAUAUCAUGGAACAUUCCUCCUCAUUUUCUGACCUCUUGCAGUAGACUUUGAAGUGGUUUGAGAGACUUGAGUUGGCUGAGAUGAAGGUUGUGGAGCUUCUUAAGUGCAUGACUGUGAUGCCUGAGAGGGUUGUGGUGCCUUAGAUGUUGAGGCCUAAGUAAUGAACACAUAAAACAUUAGCACUCACAGAUACUACACUUCACAAAUAAAAAAUUCACUUAAUAAAUGAAAAAUCAACAAAAAAUAUCAAAAUUAUACCUUAUUUUUCUUGCUUUUUCUUCCUUUUCUAGUAGCAAGAGGAGGAUAAGUGAUUGGGCAUCUGGCCUUGUUGUGUCCCGAGCCCAGCUUCAUUAGCCCGACUGUCGGUGUGAUAUGUUAUAUGUAUAUGUUUCUUCUCUGGCGUAACCCAAAGUCGUGCAGCUUCACCUUCCGGUGAUGGACCCACUGCAUAUAAAUGUAAGGCUGUGAUGCCAUCCAAAUACAUGUAAAAGGGAAUAUUUUUGUUUGGAAUGUAUGAGAAUGUGUGCACUAAUAACUGAUAUAACAGAAAUAUAGUUAGAGGGGUAUCAUUGUAAUUGGAUUAUAUGGCUAUGUAAGGGAUUGUAUAACUAUUAUUUUCAAAAGUUCCAUUGUAUAAAUUUUCUCUAUUCAAUUAAUACAAUCUUUCUUGUUUCUCUCUACCAAUUCUUUCCCUUCCUCUGUACCAAUUCUCCAUCUUUUGCAAUGUAGUUAAUAUGGUAUCAGAGCCACCAGGCUCAUGCCAUGGAUUCUGGUGGUUUCUCUUCGUAGUAUACAUUUUUUUUUUGUUCAGUUUCUCUUCAAUUUCCAUUAGAUUUUUCGUGCUUCUGCGAUUGUUUGUGGGUUGAUUUUUUGGCGUCUAAGCAUGCACCAUCCAAAAUGAUAGAGAAUUGGAGGGACAGCGAGCGGAAGAAGAAGAUCAAGAUCAUGCCGAGGAAGACGAAGGACCAGAACGUGAGCGAGCCGUGCCAGCGGAGGUGGUGAAUGUGCGGCGGCAUCUCUUUCAUGUUGUGAUUUGGUAACGGGGGAAUCCUCUGGUUUCUUGGAGAGAUAGGUUGUUUGGAUUUCUGGGAAAUAGGUCAUUGCAGGACUAAUUCUUUGCACUGUUGAUUGAGAUCUUGGAUUUCUGAAUACUAUUUUCUGCGAUUUUGAUCCCUGCUCUGUUCCUUGGUAUGGAAUAACGUUUAGACCUAUGUGCAGCCCAAGUGCUUGACGAAUUGCCCAGCUCAGAAUUGCAAAUCUGGGUUGCUCGAAGAUUGGGUAUCUGGGUUGCUUGUCGAUUGGACGUCUGGAGUUCAGUGCUAUUUGACGAUCUGGUGAUGCUUGUGUGGUGAUUCAGGUGAAUUUGUUUCUAUUUCUCGAAUCUCGAAUCUAUAUGCUGCUUAUUCUCUGAAGUCGUGGUAUGUGUUUGUUCUUAAUUUCCUGGUUUGUUUGAAGCAAAGAUUUGGGGGUUCUUGAUUUCUGGAUAGAAUUGUGAUAUGGUGAUGUCUGAAAGGAUCAUUCUUUCUGUAUCUUUUCUUGGAGUAUAAUUCUCUAAAAUUUGUGAAUAUGUUGGGAUUUAUAGUUUGUGGGUUUGAAGAAGAAAGUAGCAGUCUUUCUGUGGAUUUUUGGAGUGUCAUUCUCUUGAGUCGAAGUGUUUUCUGUGAAUCUUGGAGUGUCAUUCUCCUGAUUCGAAGCGUUUUCUAUAGAUCUUGGAGUGUCAUUCUCCUACGUAGAAGUAUUUUCUGUGAAUCUUGGAGUGUCAUUCUCCUUAGUUGAUUUAGUUUCUUGGAGUGUCAUUCUCCUUAGUUGAUUUAGUCUCCUUAGUUAACUUAGUUUCUUGGAGUGUCAUUCUCCUUGGUAGAUUUAGUUUCUUGGCAGUAUCAACUAUGGCUUCUCAGUUCACAGUCGAAAACUUGUUGGGUAUGUUCAGAUCAAGACCAGAUUUAAUUGUAUUGUUAAGCUCAUUCAUAAUCAGGAAAGCCUUGCAGAUUCACAUACAGUGAGAAUUCGGUCCUGCUCCGGAUGUAAUACUAUCUACAUAACGUGUGGUUGAAAGGAUGAUACAGGGUUCUGUUUUACACCAGUUGGUAAUGUACAUUUUUUUUUGAGUGGCUGAAACUCUUUGGGAAGAUUUGGUGAUAUGGCGUUGCAGUUGAAAAAGGGGUUAAAUCAGAUGAUAGGCUUUGUGGGUACUUACUCUAUGUCAUAUCGUUGUGUGAAGAAACUGGGCAACAAGAAUUUUCUUUUAAUCAGAAAGCAUCACCAAAGCUGCAAUUUCUGUGGAGAUUGGUUGUAGCAUUCAAAAUGGUUCCUGAAACAUUUUCAUCUCACGCAUUGCUCUGUUAGUGUUUCGCCUCAUCUCACGCAUGAGUUCAGGGUUCCUUGCGGCUUCCAAUGUCUGUCGGAGAAUGCCAGGAUAGUUUCAGAUCAGUCUCAAAUACUUGGAUAGUUCAAACUUCACUUGGACACUCCAAGUUUAGUUUGAGGGGGGAGUAAUAACUGAUAUAACAGAAAUAUAGUUAGAGGGGUAUUAUUGUAAUUGGGUUAUAUGGCUAUAUAAGGGAUUGUAUAGCUAUUAUUUUCAAAAGUUCCAUUGUAUACAUUUUCUCUAUUCAAUUAAUACAAUCUUUCUUGUUUCUCUCUACCAAUUCUUUCCCUUCCUCUGUACCAAUUCUCCAUCUUUUGCAAUGUAGUUAAUAUGCACCACCAUGAUUUGUGCAGCAACGAACUUCUCUCUCUGAAAACUCCAUUUCCCUCUCUCUCUAGAAAUCUAGCUUUCUCUGAGAUUGUUCCUCUCUGUGAUUGCUUAUUUUCCUGUGAAAUUACAAGUUCUGAUAUGAAUUCUAACAACAACCAAUUGAGCACUUAUCAAAACACCGCGCCUAUUUCUAAUGGAAAAUCUGGCGGAGAAGCCCGAAGUUAUAAGAAGGGAAGUGAUUCAGAAUUAUGCCAAGGGCUUUCCUCCUAUAUAUCUAGACGUUGUGCAGCACUCAGAUCUUUCAACAUUGACAUGGGCUCCAUUAAUGUUCAGGUACCCGUGGCAUGUAGUAUUGGGGAAUCUAGGCAAGCAAAACAUCAGGGUGGCUGGAGACGCCAUGCAACCCAUGACACCUGAUUUAGGACAAGGAGGUUGCAAGGCAUUGGAAGAUGCAGUGGUAUUAGGCAGAUACAUAGGGACAUCCUUCAUACAAAAUGGAAGACUUGUGCCAAAAGAGAUGGACAAUGACAAUGUGAUUGGAAAAUGCGUUGAAGAAAGAAGGUGGCAUGUCACGUUGUUGAUUGCAGGACACCAUAUUUAGCAGGACGGGCCAGCAGGCAUGGUCCGGAUGGGGUAUGAAGUUCUUAAGGGAUGCCGUAAUUUACAGGUUCAUUUACAUUAAAAUUGUAAAAUUUACUCGUUAUGAUUGUGGAGAGGAUCUAAGUCACAAAUUUAUAAUGUUACAGUGUAUUUUGAACAAUAGUUGAUAACUUGACAGCGAAGAUGUAAUCUGAGAUGAAUAGCUUAAUAAGCAGUACAAACCAAUUUUAAAACAAAAAAAAGAGCCUCAACGAGCCUCCAAAUGCGUAAUGGAUACUUCGUUGGUAGAAGAUGUUUGGUUAUUUGAAGACAGACCUGCUUCAUAUGAUUCAUUUUCGAUAAAGAAACCAGGCUGUUUAGGCUGAGCCAAUGCACCAUCACUUCCCAACAUUAUAACUACAGAUGCCAUGCUUGGCCUAUCCUCAGGUUCAUGUUGCACGCAUAAGAGACUAACAUGGAUGCAACGUAACACUUCCGAUAGAGAAAACGAAUUUCCUAAACCUGUAUCAAUCACUUCCAAAGGCCUUCCUUCGUUCCAUAAUCGCCAUGCCUGAAAAACGUCAAAGCUCCAUCAUUAAGUACACAUUUAAUGGGGUCCAAUAUGUAAGAAAAAGAAAUUUUAAGCCUGAUACUUGCAUGUCCAAUAAGGUUAUGGCUGUUUUUAUUGUAGAAUCCCUUGUUUUUUGUUCCGCUAAUGAUCUCUAGCACCAGUAUACCGUAGCUAAAGACAUCGGAUUUCACAGAAAAUUGUCCAUCAACGGCAUAUUCAGGUGCCAUGUAACCGCUGUAGAAAGUAGAAACAUCAUUAGAAGUGAGAACAAAAUAAACCUUGGUGAGUCCAUGAGGGUAAUACAAACUUACUAUGUUCCAACCACUCUGUUUGUAUUUCCACCAGCCUGAUCUCCUCCAACUAAUAUUCUAGCCAAGCCAAAGUCUGAAAUUUUCGGAUUCAUCUCAUCAUCAAGCAAUACAUUACUUGCUUUUAGAUCUCGAUGAAUAAUCCUUAGCCUGGAAUCUUGAUGAAGGUAUAGGAGACCGCGAGCAAUUCCGCAAAUAAUGUGGAAACGUUUAGGCCAAUCUAUGAGUUGUUCUUCUCUGGUUCUAUCUGUCAAGUUUAAAAAAAAAAAUAAAUAAAUAAUCCAACUUCAGUUCCCUAUAUGAACGCAGUUAGUUUUGCCUAAAUUUAUAGGGUUCCAAGGAUCCAAACCGAAAAUCGAGGAGUCUAGGCUUCCAUUGGGCAUGUAUUCAUAUAUCAGCAUUUUCUCCUCUCCAUGAAUACAACCACCAAGAAGCUUUACCAGAUUUCGGUGCUGAAGUUUGGCAAUCAGUACAACUUCAUUCAUGAACUCGUCCAAUCCUUGACCAGAACUUCUAGAAAGCCUCUUCACAGCAAUUUCUUGUCCAUCUGCUAGUGUCCCCUGAAAAUUAACACUGCAUCAAAUAUUGCAAAAUUCACUAUAGUGAUUCUUUGUUAUCCUGAGCCUUGCUGUAAAGAAAGUUACAAAUUUACCCUGUAAACAGGUCCAAAGCCACCUUCUCCUAGCUUGUUUUCGGUUGAAAAGUUUUCUGUCACACUAGCUAUUUCAUUCCAGUCGAAGAGUGGCAACUCUAGGUUCUCUUUUCCUUCCCCUUCAUUGCUCUGAUCUCUUUCUCCCAAUUCUGUUUUUUCUGUUGUAAUAUACUUCAUGUAAGCAAAAUGAAACUUAUAUACGAAGAUGCAAUAAAUAUUAGUUCAAUCAAUUUAAACUGGAACAAAUUUUUCAUCCCUUUCUCUCAGAUGCUCAUAUCGAGUAUACAAUAAACUAAAACCAGAAAGUGUUUAGCAAGGAUGGUCGGAUUAGUUUACUAACCUCUUAGGUUUUUCCUCCUUCGCCGAAUGUAUCCAACUAACAGAAUUCCUGAAAACAUUACUGUGAUUGCAACUACAACCAUCAAUGGUAUCUUCCAUUUACCAUCAUUUCCUUCUUCAUGGCUGCCGGAUGAAGUACCUGAGAAGGAAGGUGAACUACCAUUUAACUUUGUAGAAGCAAUUGUAAAUCUUCCCUAAACACAAUGGAAAAGUAUUUGAACUACAUGGCAGAUAAAUGCAUUUAACAAGCAGCUAUUGUUACUUCUUACCUAAAGCUAAUUCUGACGCUGACAGUCGAACAUAUAGAUCCGGCCCAGCAGUCACAAGCUCCCUGAUAUCUAGUAGAUCACCAAACCAAAUGGCACAGCCAGUACCUCCUCUCAUAUCUGAGCUCGUAUAAGCCGUACAAGAACAGUUGCCCAAGCAUUUUGCUCUGCAUUCGUUGAGAUUCAUACUUCGGUUCACCCAAGAGUGUGUAGUAUCGGGCAACUUUAGGCUAGUGAAAUUAAGAAAACCAUCCUUAUCCUUUUCUUGGCAGCUUAAAGGUUUGUUGCGCACACAUCCAAGAGACCAGUCGGUCAAGUUCCCUUUUUCUUGAGACUUAGGCCUAAAUCCUUUCAGACAUUGGCAGACCUGAUUAUUGUCAAAAGUACAUUUUCCAUUGGCUCCACAGAGGUGAUACUGAUCACACUGCUCCCUAGGCCUUGACGAAAACUGCCCCCAAUGUGGAUCUAUGGCAUCCCAAUAAUAGCGAGCACAUUUACCUAUGGUUUGGUUCAAAACUAUUCUUGAGAUUAUCUGAACUUUAUGUUUGUAUGUGUAGUACACUUCAUCGUCAGUGUACACAAAGUUGAAAGCAAAACGGGAACUAGGCUUUUCUGGCGCACCACAGAAUGUCAGGUUAUUCCAUAGGCUACUACGGUAGAACUUUGCAGUUCCAUUCCGAAUAAAUGCUUGAGGGUAUGCUUCAAGUUCCAUUUCAAUCCCAUAUGUGAUGUUACCUGGACACGGAUCUUCUGCAUUCUUCCAUGCUGAUAAACGCCUUUUUAGACCUGUCCUCAAGUCCCAUCCCAACUUCAUUCCCGGUAACAGUGUAUCGGAAGGAUAAUCGAAGCUUUGCCACAAAUAGGUUCCUGAAUUUCCAUCUUUCACAUCUCUUACCACCAAAUUUCCAGAAUCUAAUAGCUGUACCGUUGCACUUUGGGCGUGUUUAACUAUGUUUGUCGACCAAACAACACUCUUAUUCUGACCAAACAACACAAGAUUGCCGGUUAUGUCUAACAUUAAUGUGCCGGACGAGUCAUUGAUUGGUUUGCAUCUGUUUGCAACCCAAACAACAGCUCUUACCGGGACAUUCUUGAUCCAAAUUCCCAAGUAACUAUUCUUGGAACUACCUGGACUGAAGAAACCAAGCUCAAAGCUUCCAUCGUUUGAAACUAAGGUCGUUCCAUUACGGAUAGACUGCGACGGACCAAUGCUGUCAACUGCAAAGGAAAUUGUGGACAGCAGAAAGAGCAAAUUAGUACCGAUGAGCAGAAAACCGAAACCCCCCAUUGAAUUCUUUUUGUUCUUGAGCUCUCUCCCUUAAUGGUAAUGGUGUCGUUCAAGUUAAAGAUAUGGUCAAGAAGAGAUCAUUGUGGUUCAGUCGUUUUAAAUAAUUGUGCAAAAUUCAGAAAGUGGCCCCUGACAAGUCAUAACUAGAUUUUUUUAAUUUUUAAUUUUUAUGUCGCUUUCUGCUUCAUAUAUAUUAAUGUUAAUUAAUGGAUACAUCAACUCGUGAGACCCUACCAGUAGCAAACUGGUGUCAGGGAUUAACAGUAUUAUGCGUAAAUUAUAAUUUAUUUCUCAAAUCAAUUGCGAUUUCAUACAACAUCUUUAAAACAUUUCAAUUCCAUAUAUUUACUACUAUUUCAUUUCAAUUUCAUACCGCUGUUAUUUAACCUGUUAAAUCGAUCGUUAAUGAUGACAUGAUAAAUAUAUGACCCACUUUUUGAUGACAUGUCAAAUAAAAGUAAUUGAAUAUUUAAAAACAAACCUCCACCCAGGAAUUUGUUUUUGUUGUCAUCGUUCAUCCAGCACUGCCAUCGCCGAUUGGAGCCUCGGCGACUUCACACCAUUGUUACCAUCACUCCUCAACGGCGAGUAAUUCGCCUUUUUCUCCUCGAUUCUAACCCCCUUAGCACCACCGCCGUCGCCGAUUGGAGCCUUGCAACCCGCCCUCCUCAUCCUCAAAUUCCACGGCCUCGCCACGGAGGCUCCGGCGAUGUGACCUAUGGCGCAUUCAGCUGCAUAGCCGUUUGACGGCGGAGCUCGUCGAGAUCAGUGGGAACAGAGGGAAAGGGGAAGGUAUAGAUGAUGGUAGGUGGAAGGGGUGGGUGGGGAUUGGAUGUCCCGCUGCGAUGCCCGAUUCAAGACGUUUUAGGUUCAAACUCUCGCCGAAUCAGGCCGCAAUUGGAAUUACCCGAUUACACCAACUCCCGCCGGCCACCAUUCUUCCAGAUCCACGCCGCCAGCUUCGUCGAGCCACCCAUCCUCGUUAGAAAUCAAACAGCUAAAAUUACUUUUCUCCCAACUAACCUAAACCCUCGCCUUCGCCCUGCUAGCUACCAUAAUCACUGCUCUCACAAAUUAGUGAAAUCACAACCGCCGUUGAUUGAAAAAUUCCAUGGCUUUCUGAAGCAAAUAAAACUUGGGUUGCAUAGAGAAAACCCCAAAAAAAUCCCCAUUCAACGAAAUGGUUGUCCUGGAGACGAAAUCUCAAAUCCCCAUUUUUCUUAAUUCAAAGCUUCAGCUUCUCUCUUUAGAAUUAGAAAUGAAUAAAAAUGUAGACAUUGAAAUUUCAGUGAAAUAAAUAUUAAUCAAUAAUUAAAAUUUCAAUGUUCACAUGUUACAUAAAUUUUACGCGUAGUAUGUGACUCAACAAAAAAAAUUGAAAAUCAUCGAACAAGUCAUCAAAUAUAAAACGUGUCAACACCUGACAGAAAUUAUUUAUUUCAUCUGAUUAUUUAAAUCCAAAAAUCAAGUUUUGAAAUUCUAUAAAUAAGAAGCCAAGACAUUCAUUUUGAUUAACCAAUUCACUUUACACCACAAUCUUGAAGCUUUGAAACUCUAAAGCUCCGAAGCAAAUCCCGAAGGAUCAAGAAAGCUCUCUUCGUUCUUCGUCAAAUCCUCCUUCAAGACAAGCCCUAAUGGCCCUUGAAGAACUUCCUCUUUCAAGAUCAAGUCCCAAUGACCCUUGAAGAACUUCCACCCAUUCAAGAUCAAGCCCCCGACGGCUCUUGAAGAAAGUGUUUAUCGUUCAUCAACGUCCAUCAUCUUUUCAUCCUAAGAUCAAGCCCUAACGACCUUUUGGAUCAACAAUAUCAACAAAUCCGCACAAUCAUUCUUCAAGAUCAAGCCCAAAAGCCCUUGAAGAAACUUUCAUAAACUUUCAAGAUCAAGAUCGAAGGCUCUUGAAGAAACUUCCAACCGUUCAUCCAAGAUCAAGCCUCGACGACCCUUGGAUCAACAAAACAUCCACAAAUCAACACCUUACGGAGAUCAAAUCAAAGGAUCAAAUUUGGGAGAGAUUGUAACCCCAAAAUCAUUAAUACAAAAUAUUAUUUUGUACACGUGUUCUUAUCUUGUUUCAUCGCAGGAAUUUCCAUGUUUACAAAUUUGGCACGCCCAGUGCGACAAUCUUUACCUCUCAUCUCUUUCUCCGUUCAAGGAAUCCAAACAUACCUUAAAAUCAAUGGCAUCAAGCAAGGGACAAGCUAUUCUCACAACCACCAAAGGAAGGAUCCUAAGCAUUUUUACCGCAAAUGGACAAUCCAUUGGUGCCACAACCGCUCCUCAACAUGCCAUUUCAAAGUUGGUGCAGCUAAGGGAGCAAGGGGAGCAUCAAAGGCACGAGUCCAUCAUCAACCUGACCUGGCUGAGGGCACCAAAGCAUGGUGCUGAGGCGCACAAGAUGACAUCCCAAAGCGGCCAAUGGCGUUCUUCGUCAGCAUCUUGGAUGUUUGAAGGAAAGUCACGUUUAUUGGUUGCGCUAGUCAUGACCAUAGGUGUUACCUCCAUUAAAGAACAACUGGCUCAAAUGAAUGAAGCGAUCGCAAGGCUAACACGGACUGUGGAAGAAAAAGACUUGCAAAUUGUUACACUCGUCAAUCAACUGGAAGCACAGGACGACGAGAAACCCGACCCAAAGGUUAAUCCACUAAAGAGAGGAGCCGACGAAGAAGAGGAACCUCUGGUGGAGAAAGUCGAUGUGAAGCCGGAGCCAGACUAAGCAGCAGCACUCAUGGGAUUUCUUUCUAUUUAGCAGCUGCAGGAGAUGAUCAUUAACACCAUCAAGGCACAGUACGAAGGGAGCUCAUAUACCUCCGUGUUGUACUCAAAGCCCUACUCCAAAAAGAUUGACACCUUGAAGAUGGCAAGGGGUUAUCAACCACCAAAGUUCAUGCAGUUUGAUGGAAAGGGAAACUCUAAGCAACACAUCGCCCAUUUCGUUGAAACUUGCAACAAUGCGGGGACGAAAGGAGACUACCUCGCCAAGCAGUUUGUGCACUCGUUGAAAGGAAACGCCUUUGAGUAGUAUAUAGACCUAGAGCCUGAGUCUAUCAGUAGUUGGGAGCAAUUGGAAAAGGAAGUCCUUAACCGCUUCUACAGCACCCGCCGCAUUGUAAGUAUGUUAGAGCUGACAAGUACGAAGCAAUGGAAAGAUGAGCCAGUUGUUGACUAUAUCAAUCGAUGGUGCAUUUUAAGCCUCGACUGUAAGGACAGGCUUUCGGAGAACUCCUCAAUCGAGAUGUGCGUCCAAGGCAUCCAAUGGGGAUUACAAUAUAUCCUUCAUGGCAUCAAACCACGAACCUUUGAAGAGCUAGCCACCCGCACCCAUGACAUGGAGUUGAGCAUCGCCCAUCAUAGGCAAAAAUAACCGAUCAUCGACUACAAGAACGAAAUUUUUUUUGGGCCAAAGGUGGAUAAGGCUGCAUGGAAACCCACCAAGGAAGCAAUGAUGAUCAACACAGCUCCCGUCAAAAUCUCUACAUGAGGCAAGACGAUUCAAGCCUAAGCUUUUCGUGAUCAAGAGAUGCGUAGACGUAUUUUGAAAGAGCUUGAGGAGAAGACUUAUCUAUUCAUCGACUCUGAUGUGGUUGCCAUGUUGAAAGACUUGCUUGACAAAAAGGUGAUCGACCUACCUAAGUGCAGACGGCCGGAAGAGAUCGUACUGACAGUCCAAGGUAUUGUAAAUUCCACCGCUUCAUCAGUCAUCUGAUGGAAAAGUGCUUUGUGCUAAAAGAUCGUAUCAUGAAGCUGGCUCAGAAAGGAAUCAUCAAGCUAAAUCUUGACGAUGUGGUGAAGUCAAACUAUACCACUGUUACUUUCGACUCUUUCGAUUCAAAAUCUUCACCUCAACCGCUAGGGCAUGCUCCAAAACCAUGUCAAUCAAGUCAAUUAAAGUUGAAUGAUAGACCCAUAUCACUCCAAAUAAACUGCACAAGAAGCAUAUGUCUCCCCCACAAGUUCACCAAUCGGAAAUGGGGCAAAACAGCUCUCGUCAACCUCCAAAGCUACAUGAAAGUGUUGAGGAUGAUGAAAUUGCGACAUAAAGAUCGCCUGUUGCCAUCACGAUGCGCAAUUUCUUCCCCGAAGACUUCUUCAAUCACUCAUUCAAGACUGCUUGCUAUGAAGAUUGCAAGGAAUGCCUCUCUAAGAUCGUUUGACAAAUUCACAUGCUCCUCGUUUGCACGAGCCUAAAAGGCGACACCAAAGCUCCUUAUCCGGACGAGCAUAAAAGGUGACAACUAAAGCUCCUUGUCCACACGAGCAUAAAAAGCGACACCAAACGUUCCUUGCCUGCACGAGCUGAAACUGCAACACGGCACCAAAAAAAUGCUCCUGGCCCGCAAGAGCAUAAACUGCGUAUGGCACAAAAAAAAAAUAUUCCAGAAAAAAAAUAUGUAUUUGAACUACCUUAUGACUUGAUCUCUUCUUUGGAAGGUUACGUAGGCAACUCGAACGUUCAACUUCGAAUACAGUCAUGUCAAAAUAAAAAAUAAGGUUUUAUUAAAUGUUUGACUAUUGAGAGACAAUUUUAUUACAAAUAAAAAAACAAUAUUCUUUGUAUUAAAAAAAUGUACACAUGUUAAUGUGGGUCUUCCUACACUUAAGACCUAUGCCAAAUGAAAGAAACACAAGUUGAAGUCAACAGAAAAGAGCAGCCCAAAUCCAGGCCUAAGCCAUGCCCUUCUAACUUACAUCUGUGGCUGCAGGUGUAGGUUGUACUGUUGCUGCACUCGCUGAACUCACGAUCUCCGCCUGUCACCAGUUGUUGUGGCUUCUCAAUAAGAACUUUUAGUCUUUGUCUUUGGUGAUGGAUUUGGUUGUGCAUAAAGGCAUAGUCAGAAGGAUUUUGAGGCUCGUGACGGCGGUGAAGAAUGAGACAUUUGAGCCCUUUGAGCAUGCACUUCUGACUAUCUUGCAGUGCGCCGAGCUCGGGAGGCUGCAAAAGCUUCAAACACUAGAUCUUUACAACAACUUGAUCAAUGGAGAAAUUCCCUUCAUGGAGGUGGACUUUAAGGGUCUUGUGGCAGCGCUUGGUGGUCUGGUAGGAAACGCCCAGGUUGCAAAUAUGAUCCAUUCCUCCGUGAAGCCUAGUAGUGCAACGGGUGUGCAGUGGCUGUGCAAUGCUUGUGCAGUUGCUGUGCCUUAGAGGCGAGGACCUCGUAGAGCUCAUUGAUGUUGGGCAUGAGGUUGGUGCCGGUGAACUUCUUCUUGUUGAUGACUUUUACAGCGACGCUCUGGCCAGUGUGGACGUUACGUGCGUGGUAAACUUUGGCGAAAGAUUGCAGAGAAGUUGAAGGUGCCGAUGACGUGGCAGUGGUAGCCGGUGAUCCCUUCCUCCGCAAUGGCAGGCAGUGCAACGGGUGUGCAAUGGCUGUGGUCAGUACCUAUGCUCGAUGGUUGUGCUCGAUGCAUUCGGCUUGGGUUUUCACCCACAAACACAGCCUUGCCUUGGCACCAUGUGAAAAAAUGAAAAAAAAAAUAUGAAAAAAUGGAUGGUGCAUCUGGCACCAUAUGCAAAAAAAGAAAAGAAAAGAAAAAAAUAUAUUAAAAAAUGGAAGGUGCAUCUGGCACCAUGUGCAAGAAAAGAAAAGAAAAGAAAAGAAAAGAAUAUAUAUAUAUAUAUAUAUAUAUAUAUAUAUAUAUAUAUAUAUAUAUAUAUAUAUAUAUAUAUAUAAAUGAAUGGUGGAUCAGCACCAUGUGAAAAAAAAUAUAUAUAUACACACACACACAUAUACUGAAUGAAAAAAGCCUCAUUUAUUGAUUUCUCUAAAAAUUUACAUAAAUGUACAUUUUACAUGAGACAAAAAAAAAAGGGAGCAGCAAACAGGAAUGAGCCUUCACAAAGGUUGAUCAGGUGGUGCCUCAUCACUCGGUGGAACUCCAGGAAGAAGAGGCGCCGGAGGUUGAUUGUUUGGAGCCUCAACACUUGGUAAAACUCCAAAGGAUGAAGACAAUAUGUGCCUUUGGAGUAAAGCCACAAACAUCUUAUGGUCACUCUGAAUCCGACUUUCGGAUUCCUGCAGCUGGUCAAGCUUUCUCUUCAUGCUCGUUGAGUAACUAUUGGCAAGCAUGUGCAACUCUCUGUUUUCACGCUUAAGCCCUCUAAUAUCUUGCUUAAGACUCGCCACCUUAGCCAUCAAUGACUCGACUUGACGAGUUCGAGUAAGAAGGUGUUGGCCCAUAUUUGAUACGGAGCCUGUACACUGAACACUGAAAGCCAGAGAGUCUUGAACAACCAACUCAUCAGACCGCUUGGAAAGGAUCCUGUUGUCUUUGGGGGUUUGAAGAUUUCUAGAUACCACCGUAGCAGUUAAGUCAUUUUUCAUCACAGAGUCCCUAACUGUAAGAGGACCGUUAGAGGAUAAGAAUGAUGAGUGUCAUAUGUUGUCUGAAGAAGACAUAUCGACAUUUUCCCCAACAUUCAAAUCAAGAUGACGAUCGGAUGGGCAAGCCAUUUGCAAAAAAAAUGACGAAAAAAGAAAAGGUCGGGUAAAUCGAAUUCUGAGAAAUACAAAAAGAGGGAAAUUCCUACAUGUGGCAACUCUCUAAGCGUGUUUUUGAACACGAUUAAUGCCUCUAUAAAAAGAAGAACCAACAGGGCUUGUUCAAAAAUCGAGGAGGCAACAUGGCCGUUCAGAAAUCAAAGAGGCACCUCUCCCUAAAUUUCAAAAGUCAGGCCGCUUGUUCAGAAAUCAAAGAGGCUCAUUUCUCCGAAUUUCAAAAGCUGUGUCGCUUGUUUAAAGAUAGAAUAGGCACCUUUCUCUGAAAUUCAAAAGCCGGAUUUUCUGGGAUAAAACAUGUCGGCACAUUUCAAACACAAUCUCAACUUUUCAGAUAUCACGAACAAUUUUGUCACAGAUUUCUGACAAAGAAGAAAGCGCGUGAAUAUUACUAUUUCAAUUACCCAAAGGUUAGCAACAAGAGUAAAGGAACAAUACCACUACUCACUAUUGGGAAAUUCCUAUAUAUGUUGACAUUUGUCCUCCAUAACAAGGCAGAUCUGCAAAAAUGCCCAACCCUUCCUCACCUCUGAGAGUGCACUCCCAAACAAGCCUUUCGAAAGACUUAGGUUUUCUUCCUCCCCAAGAAUACCUUUGCAAACAAGUCAUACCAGAGCAAUAGUAUCUCAUAUCAUCAGGGUCGAAAACAAGAGUAUCUUAUAUCAUGCUUUCUCCCUGUCCUUUUCUUUGUCCUUGUUCUUCCUUGCAGAACAAGGAAAAAAAGAGCAAUCAGCUGGCACUUGGAAUCAACCUUCCGAUCUGGAACCGACUGCCUAGAACCCCUUCCCUGAUUGCUUACCUAGCCUUGCUCUCGAGUACUCAUCUUCAACUAUUGAUGUACUUCUAGAGAAGAUACCAUGUCUGCCUGGAGAACAAAAAAGACGAAUGAAAAUGAUACAUCGAAGCAUGUGGAGACAAGCGCAAUGAAACGUGCCAGUUUAUCCGCUACUUCUUCAUAAGCAAAAGUAUCUCAUAUCAUUAGGGACGAAUGUACUCUAGAUUUGAUGGACUUGUUUUGACCCUUAAAUUCUUGAAUCGGCUCGCUAAGGCAUGGUGAAAAAAACACAUGCCGAUUCAUCCCGAUAAGACCGAAGAUCACUUGCCACCUGAAGAUGUUCGUGGUCCCAUUCCAGUCAAAUUCAAGAUCAAGCUCCGAAGGCCCUUAAAGAAAUCACAAGUUCGAUUCAAAAUCAAGUGUCCACCACCCUUGAAAAUCAUACUGUUAACCAAACUGCUCAGGUAUGAAUUGGAAAGAUUGAAGAAAGAAACAUACCAUCACCUUCACCUCGUGCCUGCUUGCCAUGUGUCCGAAUCUUGAAACCGCUCGUGGUCCUAUUUAAAUUCAAAAUCAAGCUCCAACGACCCUUGAAGAAAUCACAAGUCCGAUUCAAAAUGAAGCUUCCACCACCCUUGAAUUCCAGAUCAAAGGAGUAAGUUCAGACCUUUAGAGGAAACCAGAAAACCCUCCAGCCCAGUUCAAGAUUAAACCUGUGGAAAGCUACUUCUUCAAAAGCAAAAGUAUCUCAUAUCAUCAGGGUUGAAAGCAAAGAUAUCUUAUGGCAUGUUUUUUCCCUAUCUUUUCCUUUACCUUUGCUCUUACCUGCAAGACAAAGAGAAAGAAAGAAAUCAGUCAGAACCUGAAAUCAAACUUCUGAUCUGGAACUGAUUGCCCAGAACUUUUGCAUGGUUGCUUACCUAGCAUUGCUCUUGAGUGAUCAUCUUCAACUGUUAAUAAGUCUCGAGUUUCCUCAACGAAUACUUCAGAACAGUUGAUAUGAUGUUGGCUCUUUACAUUGAAGUUGCCAAGCAUGGAUGAGUUGCUAAGAAGUGAUGCUCUGAAUGACCAUUUAAAGGCAAAAGUUUGCACACCACUUCUGCCAUGCAAAAGAAACAAGUAGAGAAGAAUGCAACAUGGUGAGCUGUAACAGAUAACUAUAGUAAGACACCCUUCCCUGCAUAACCGCAUAACCCAGAUGGAGGAGUCUGAGUCAAAUCCAAGCUCAGCAUUAUUGCUCUAAUCAAAGAGCUCGAGAAGUUUCAAAGACCUUUCAAUGGCACCGUCGUUGAAGAGCAAAGCCUCGCCGUGCAACACCAUCAAAUCGCCACCACCACCUAGGAACUCUACUCUUCCUUGCUCAGAUCUCCAGCCCAGUUUAAGAAUAAGCUUGUGGAAAAGUUAACAAUUGGAGGAAACCAGAAAAUCCUCCAACCCAGUUCAAGACCAAAGCUGUGGAAAGUCAACAAGCGCAACAUAAUACAUGCUGAUUCAUCCACUACCAAAGCCAAAGAUCAUCUACCACGUGAAGCUCCUUGUGGUCCAAUUUCAUUCAAGAUCAAGCCUCGACAGCCCUUAAAGAAAUUUCAACAAAAUUCAAGAACAAGCCUCAACGAUACUUGAAGAAAACUUUUAUCCCAAUUCAAGAUCAAGCCCCGAUGACCUUUGAAGAAAUUACCAACCCAAUUCAAGAUCAAGCAUCGAUGGCCUUUGGAUCAACAUUACAUUAAUGGACUUCAAAACGCAUCUUCUACACGUGACAAACACAUGUAUAUGAUGCGCCUUGAAGUGGGGGCAUUUGUAGACAUCAAAAUUUCGGUGAAAUAAAUGUUGACCAAUAAUUAAAAUUUCAGCGUUCACGUGUCACAUAAAUUUUACACGUAGCAUGUGACAUAACAAAAAAAUCGAAAAUUAUCGGACAAGUCAUCAAAUAUGACACGUGUUAACACCAGGGAGAAAUGGUUUAUUUCAUCUGAUUAUUUAUAUCCAAAAAUCAAGUUUUGGAAUUCUAUAAAUAGGAAGCCAAGUCAUUCAUUUUGAUUAACCAAUUCACAUCACACCAUAACCUUGAAGCUUUGAAACUCUAAAGCUCCUAAGCAAAUCCCGAAGGAUUAAGAAAGCUCUCUUCGUUCUUCGUCAAAUCCUCCUUCAAGAUCAAGCCUCAACGGCCCUUGAAGAACUUCCUCCUUUAAGAUCAAGCCCCAAUGGCCCUUGAAGAACUUCCACCAAUUCAAGAUCAAGCCCCGAUGGCCUUUGAAGAAAGUGUUCAUCGUUCAUCAUCCGUUCAUCCUAAGAUCAAGCCCCAACGGCCAUUUGGAUCAACAACAUCAACAAAUCCGCACAACCAUUCUUCAAGAUCAAGCCCAUAAGCCCUUGAAGAUCUGUUCAUCACCGUUCUUAAAGAUCAAGCCCAAAAGCCCUUAAAGAAACUUCCAUCAACUUUCAAGAUCAAGCCUGAAGGCUCUUGAAGAAACUUCUGACCGUUUAUCCAAGAUUAAGCCUCGAUGGCCCUUGGAUCAACAAAAUAUCCAUAAAUCAACACAUUACGAAGAUCGAAUCAGAUGAUCAAAUUUGAGAGAGAUUGUAACCCCAAAAUCAUUAAUACAAAAUAUUAUUUUGUACACGUGUUCUUGUCUCGUUGCAUCGCAAGAAUUUCCAUUUUUACAAAUUUGGCAUGCCCAAUGAGACAAUCUCUACCUUUCAUCUUUUUCUCCGUUUAAGGAAUCCAAGCACACCUCAAAAUCAAUGGCAUCAAGCAAGGGAUAAGCCAUUCUCACAACCACUAAGGGAAGGAUACUGAGCACCUUCACCGUAAACGGAGAAUCCAUUGGCGCCACAACCACUCCUCAACAUGCCACUUCAAAGUUGGUGCCACUAAGGGAGCAAGGGGAGCAUCAAAGGCACGAGUCCAUCAUCAACCUGACCUUGCUGGGGGCACCGAAGCAUGGUAAUGAGGCGUACAAGAUGACAUCCCAAAGCGGCCAAUGGCAUUCUUUUUCAGCAUCCUGGAUGUUUGAAGGAAAGUCACGUCUAUUGGUUACGAAAGUCAUGGCCAUUGGUGUUACCUCAAUUGAAGAACAACUGGGUCAAAUGAAUGAAGCGAUCACAAGGCUAACACGGACUAUGAAAGAAAAAGACUUGCAAAUUGUUGCACUCGUCAAUCAACUAGAAGCACAUGAUGAUGAGAAACUUGACCCAAAGGUUAAUCUACUAAAGAGAGGAGCCAGCGAAGAAGAGGAGCCUCCAGUGGAGAAAGUCGAUGUGAAGCCGGAGCCAGACCUAGCAGCAGCACUCAUGUGGUCUAUUUCUAUCCAGCAGAUGCAGGAGAUGAUCACAAACACUAUCAAGGCGCUGUACGAAGGGAGCUCACGUACCUUUGUGUUGUAUUCAAAGCCCUACUCCAAGAAGAUUGACGCCUUAAAGAUGCUAAGGGGUUAUCAACCACCAAAGUUCAUACAGUUUGAUGGAAAGGGAAACCCUAAGCAGCAUGUCGCCCAUUUCGUUGAAACUUGCAACAACGAAGGGACGAAAGGAGACUACCUUGCUAAACAGUUUGUGCACUCGCUGAAAGGAAACGCCUUUGAGUGGUAUACGAACCUAGAGCCUGAGUCCAUCAAUAGUUGAGAGCAAUUGGAAAGGGAAGUCCUUAACCGCUUCUACAGCACCCGCCGCACUGUAAGCAUGCUGAGCUGACAAGUACGAAGCAAUGGAAAGAUGAGCCAGUUGUUGACUAUAUCAAUCAAUGGUGCACUUUAAGCCUCGACUGCAAGGAUAGGCUUUCAAAGAUCUCCUCAAUCGAGAUGUGCGUCCAAGGCAUGCAAUGGAGAUUACAAUAUAUCCUUCAAGGCAUCAAACCACGAACCUUUGAUGAGCUAGAAUUAGAAAUGAAUAAAAGUAAGAGAUUAAUUUAUGGGAAAUUAAGAGGCUUAGGUUGUGGGUUUGCAAUGAUUCACAACUAUUGGCUGAACAAUGAAUUAUUGGUUGUUACAGUGUUGGUGGUUGCAAAAAAAAUAAAGGAAUGUGGGGUGAGGUGGGGCGGAGUUACCUCUCUGUCUUCGACACCCACAUGGUGGUCAUGGUAGGGAAGAAGUUUAAUGUUGGUGAGGUAGCAGGGAGGAAGAACCGCGAGAUUUAGGUCAUCGGAGAUUGAGCUUGAUGUCAUGGUCACGGUAGCAGCCAUGGUUUGCGUUUUCCGGCGAGAACCAGCUGGAUAACUAGGUACCAAGUUUGAAGGGGGUGGUUUACAAGGACUGGGAUCACCUCCGGAUCUCAGACUCCGGAGGAAACUGAGCAAAACAUUUCAUCCUUCCAUUUUUGAUCCUGCGGCCAGAAAUUAAUCAAUAUUGAAAAAUUCUCACGCAAACAAGGCAAGAUGAAAAUGGAAGGAUGAGAUGUUUUGCUCAGGUUGCUCUAUAGGCUGGGAUCUGGAGAUGAUCCUAGUCUGUUUUGUAAUUUAAUUUUUAGUCUAUGUGGACAUAUUUGACUGCCACAUCAACAAGAAUGUGAGACCUACAAUUGACACAUCAUCAUUUAAUGGUCAAACUAACAGAUUGAUUAACGGAUGUAUGAAAUUGAAAUGAAAUAAUAGUAAAUGUAUGAAACUGAAAUGUUUUAAAAACAUUGUAUGAGGUUACAAUUUGAGGGAUGUAUGAAAUUGAAAUGAAAUAAUAGUAAAUGUAUGAAAUUGAAAUGUUUUAAAAACAUUGUAUGAGGUUACAAUUUGACUUAAAUCUGAGAGAGUAAAAUGUAAUUUACCCUAUUUUUUGAACAAGUAGCAGAAUGUAACAAGCACUUCACUUGCCCUUUGGGUUGACAAAUCAAUCAUCGUCCACAAUUUCCACGUUGAUUUGACUCUUGAACGAGGAUGGAUGUAGCAGUAGUGCUGAGCAAAGAUCGGGUCUUGCCUAGUUUGUGGAUAUUAUGCAUAUUCGUCGCAAAUACAGCAACAUCGGUAUCAAGAUCUAAAAUAUCGAUGAUAUCGAAAAUAUCGAGAUAUUAUCGAUAUUGAUAAAAAUUGAAUAAAAACCACAGAAAUUGUAAGAAAAACUUGGAAAUUUUUAUUGAAACUUUGCAUGAUGUUUAUUUAAUUAAUUAUCUAUUAGUUUAUCACAAAAAAUUGGAAGGAAAUGCAUUGCAUGAUAGAUGUAACUGAUUUAAGUUGAUUAUAUAGCGAGCUGGGAAACAUUGUGAGUGUAAAAAAUAUGUAGUAAUUAAUGAAAGAAGUUUAAACACACCAUAAUCAUUUAUAUAUAAUGAAUUAGUACAAUAUUUUACACUUUAUACAUUGCAUGGUACGAUAAUGAGUGACUUAGUACCACAUAGAGUUCCUAUCAAGGUCUAAAAUAUCGAUGAUAUUGGAAAUAUCGGUAGUCCAAAAACACGGAAAUUUCGAUGGAAAUAUUGAGAUAAUAUUGAUAUUUUAGACCUUGAUCGGUAUGAUCAACCACUGCACUGUUUUAUUAGAGAUGACUUGCAUACUAGUCAACAGAGGUUAGCCGUGCCCGCCUCCGGGAGAGAAACCACAAGGGGCUUCUCAAUUAUGUAACCAGUCUUAGCAGUUGUCCUUUUAUGGUCUUCUAGCCCGAUUAUCAACAAAAAGAAUCCUUUCUAAUCUUGUCUUUAACUUGCAUAAAACUAGCACUUGUAAAUAUGGUCAUACAGGACGCUAAGCAACACUUUAGUCACAACGUAAAACUUCUUGUAAUUAAAUAUCAAACUUGAUUUCUAGCUAGUUCAUUUCAUUUCCUCAUGAAAGAUGACAGUCCAGAUUCCCUGAAUGGAAUUAAAUCACUGGAUCGCCUUCCAACAAGAAUCGACGAGAGAUAGUAAUCUAAGAAAAAAAAAGACUUUAUGGAGCCUAUUAGCUACUACAUAUAUUUAUAUUUUCACAUACCUGUGCUGCUUUGUAGACAAAGCUUAUUUUGAACGGUAGUUGAUAGCAAAGCAUAUAUAUAGAUGUAGUCUGAGGUGAAUAGCUAAAUAAGCAGUAUGAACCAAUUUUACAACGAAUAAAACAAUCUUUAACGAGCCUCCAAAAGCGUGAUUGAUAAUUCGUUGGUAGAAGAUGUUUGAUUAUCUGAAGACAGACCUGCUUCAUAUGCUUUCUUUUCGAUAAAGAAACCAGGUUGUUUAGGCUGAGCCAAUGCACCAGCACUUCCCAACAUUAUAACUACAGAUGCCAUGCUUGGCCUAUCCUCAGGUUCAUGUUGAACACAUAAGAGACUAACAUGGAUGCAACGUAACACUUCCGAUAGAGAACACGAAUUUCCUAAACCUGUAUCAAUCACUUCCAGAGGCCUGCCUUCGUUCCAUAAUUGCCAUGCCUGAAAAACAUCAAAGCUCCUUCAUCAAUUAUACAUUUAAUAGGGUCUAAUAUGUAAGAGAAAGAAAUUUUAAGCCUGAUACUUGCAUGCCCAAUAAGGUUCUGGCUGUUUUUAUUGUAGAAUCCCUUGUUUUUCCUUCCGCUAAUGAUCUCUAGCAUCAAUAUACCAAAGCUAAAGACAUCCGAUUUCACAGAAAAUAGUCCAUCGACCGCAUAUUCAGGUGCCAUGUAACCGCUGUGGAAAGUACAAACAUCGUAUAGAAGUAAGAACAAAAUAAACCAUUGGUGAAAGUUGAUCAUAGAAAUAGGGUAAUACAAACUUACUAUGUUCCAACAACUUUCUUUGUAUUUCCACCAGCCUGAUCUCCUCCAACCAAGGUUUUAGCCAAGCCAAAGUCUGAAAUUUUUGGAUUCAUUUCACUAUCAAGUAAAACGUUACUUGCUUUGAGAUCUCUAUGAAUAAUCCUUAGCCUGGAAUCUUGAUGGAGGUAGAGCAGACCGCGAGCAAUUCCGCAUAUAAUGUUGAAGCGUGUAGGCCAAUCUAGGACUUGUUCUUCUCUGGUUUUAUCUGGCAGUUUAACAAAAAUCGAACUUUAUUUCUAUAUAAAAAAAUGCUCCAAAACCUAUUUAUGAAAUUAUUAUAGAGGCUAGAGCUAUUAAAAAUAAUAAACUUAUAAGGUUUCGAAGAUACAAACCAAAAAUAAAGGAAUCAAGGCCUCUGUUGGGCAUGUAUUCAUAAAUCAGCAUUUUCUCUUCUCCUUGAACACAGCAUCCAAGAAGCUUUACAAGAUUUCGGUGCUGGAGCUUGGCAAUCAGUACGACUUCAUUCAUGAACUCACUCAAUCCUUGGCCAGAACUUGUCGAAAGCCUCUUCACAGCAAUUUCCUGUCCAUCUGCUAGCGUCCCCUGGAAAUUCACCGAAUUUCGAAAUUGAGAAACUUGGGAUGAAGUAAUUCUUUUUUCAUUUGGCCCUUACUAUGAACAAAAUAAAAAAUUUACCUUGUAAACAGGUCCAAAGCCACCUUCUCCGAGCUUGUUAUCACUUGAAAAGUUAUUGGUGGCACUCGCUAUUGUGGUCAGGUCAAAGACCGGAAGCUCCAGUUCCCCCUCUGGUUCCCCUUCAUUGUUCCGAUCCCUUUCUCUUGUUUCAGUUUUCCCUGAUUUAGUUGAAAUGGGAUCAAUUUUAGCUAGCUAUAGCAUAUAAGUAUGUCUUAUCAAACUAAAACUUACAUAUGCCGAUGGAAUAUGUACUAGUUUAACCAUAUCUCUUCUAACCAAAUUAAACUCAUCCAAUAACAAUCGAACAUCCGUGAAUAUUUAGAUAUCCGCUUACAUGUAAGAGUAAGCAAACUGAAGCUCAUAUAGGCACUAUGAAGAUGAAAUAUUUACUAGUUUAACCAUAUCCCUUCUACGCAAAUGAAACACCAUAGAAAUCUAACUUCCCUUCUUUCAAAUACUCAUUCAAGUAAAAUCAAACAGCGUUCACAAAUGAUUUGCAAAGAGUGUCAAGGUACCUUUUAAUUCUGUCUUUCUUCGGUGAAGGUAAUAAUAAUAUCCAAGUAACAGCAUUCCAGCAAACACUACUCCUGCGAGAACUCCAACUAUAAUUGCUUUCUUCGCUUUAUCAUCAUUUUCUUCAUCAUGAUUGUGAGAUGCAAUAAAGAUAAAUUAAAAUUGCAGCCAAUGAAUUAUUUAAAGAAAAAAAGAAGAUAAAAGUAACUCAUGUUACGAAGUUUCUUACCUAACUCUGAAGCUGGCAUUCGAACAUAUAGAUCCUGUCCAGAAGCUGGAAACUGCCUGAUAUCUAUUAGAUCACCAUACCAGAUGGCGCAGCCAGUACCUCCUCUUAUAUCCGAGCUUGUAUAAGCCAUACAGGAACAGUUGUUCAAGCAUUUCGCUCUGCAUUCCUUCAGAUUUAUACUUUUGUUCACCCACGAAUGUGUAGUUUCUGGCAAUUUCAAGCCGGAAAAUUUGAUAAACCCAUCCUUAUGCUUUUCCUGGCAACUCAGGGGCUUCUUGUGCUCACAUCCUAGAGACCAGUCCGUCAAGUUCCAUCUUUCUUGAGACUUAGGCUUGAAUCCUUUUAGACAUUGGCAGACUGGAUUCUCACCAAUGAGACAAUUUCCGUUGGCUCCACAGAGGCCAUAAUGAUCACACAUGUCCCUGGGUACCGUUGAAUAUGCCCUCCAAGUUUUUUCCGCUUCAAUCCAUCUCAAGCGAUCACGCGUACUCGUGGUUUGGUUCAUAACCAAUCUUGAGAUUACAGACUUAUCUAGAAGGGUGUACAUGUAAUACACUUCAUCGUCAUUAUACACAAAGUUGAAACUAUAAAGUGGAUUAGGCAUUAAUUCUGGUGCACCACUAAAUCUUAGGCCAUUCCAUGGGCCAGAACGAUAGUAUUUUACAGUGCCUUUAAGAAAAUAUGCCUCGGGGUAUAUAUGACGUUCCAUUUCGAGCUGUCCUGAGUUUUUCCAAAUGAAAUCUCCCGGACAUGGGUCUUCUGAGUUUUUCCAUGCUGAUAAAUUACGAUUUAGAUCCGUCCUCGAGUCCCAUCCCAACUUCAUUCCUGGUAACAACGUAUCAGAUGGAUAGUCAAAGCUUUGCCAUAAAUAGAUUCCUGCCCCUGCAUCUCUUAGUACCAAAUUCCCGGAAUCUAAGAGCUCUACCGUUGCACUUUUGGGCUGUUCAACUAAGCUCGUUGACCAAACUACACUCUUAUUCUGACCCAGCAGCACAAGAUCCCCUUUUCCGUUUAUCAUCAACAUGCCGGAAGAAUCAUUAAUGGGGUUGCAUCUGUUUGCCACCCAAACAACAGUUUGGACCGGGAUGUUCUUAUACCAAAUUCCCAAGUAACGAUUCUUGGAGCUACCCGGACUGAAGAAACCAAGCUCAAAGCUUCCACCUUUUGCAACCAAGGUCGUGCCAUCACGAAUAGACUGCGAUGGACCAAUGCUGUCAACUGCAAAGGAAAUUGUGGGCAGCAGAAGGAGCAAAUUAGUACAGAUGAGCAGAAAACCAAAACCGCCCAUUGAAUUACUUUGGUCUUUGAGCUCAAUGCCUAAUGGUAAUCGUAUUCUUCAAGUUAAAGAUAUAAUCAGAAAAAAAAAAGACUGUUGUGAUUCGGUCAUUUUCCAUCCAAAUGCAUACGACAGAUAAUGCUCAAUUGCUUAUUCUUCGUCAACAUAGCAGAAACCGGAAAGAUCAACACUUGCCCUGGUUUUCAUAAAGAUGACGUGCAUACCAGACAACAGAGGGUAGCCGUGCGGACUUUUGGCCUUCCAGAAGACUAAAGAGAGAAAACACAAGGGUCUUAUUAACUGUGUGUGUCAAUUUUUCGCAGUUGUUGGUAUUUGGCCUUCUCUCAAAUGAUCAACCACAAGAACAUAGCAGAAACCGGAAAGAUCAACACUUGCCCUGGUUUUCAUAAAGAUGACGUGCAUACCAGUCAACAGAGGGUAGCCGUGCGGACUUUUGGCCUUCCAGAAGACUAAAGAGAGAAAACACAAGGGUCUUAUUAACUGUGUGUCAAUUUGUCGCAGUUGUUUGGUAUUUGGCCUUCUCUCAAAUGAUCAACCACAAGAAUCCUUUUUAAUCUUAUCUUUGACUUGUAUGAAACUGGUGGUAGGUCGGGAACAAAACUUCCACGGGUCUUAUCUUUGACUUGUAUCAAACACAAGAAUCAUUUUUAAUCUUAUCCUUAACACUGUACCAGGUUGAUGUUUAUUUUGUACACAACGUUACACCCUCGCAAUCUAUCGUUGAUGGAACCACAUUAGUUUCAAGUGAUGGAAGAAGCUUUGAGUUAUAAAAAUCGAUAAAAAUAGGCAUGUAGAUAGUACAACCUUAUAAUAUUUGGUUUGCUGCUGCCUAUUGCAUAGAUGUUAUUGAAAAUAGAAUGUAUAAAAUGGGAUCCAUGUGGUGCAUUUAUUAAUGAGUAAAUUGUAGCAAUGGUCCCUGAACUUUACUCAAAUUGGAGCAAUAGUCCCUCAACUAAAAAUCCAUUACCAUUGGUCCCUCAACUUAUCAAAAUAUGUAGCUAUAGUCAUUUUCAUUAAUUUCUUCAAAAUUUUGUCAAAAUAUGUUAUGUUGGAAUAACCAUUUAUUUAAUUAGGGUCCCUCAACUCAUCAAAGUGUGUAAUUAUGGUCAUUUUUGUCAACUACUUAAAAAAUUUUGUCAAAACGAGUUAUGUUUGAAGGACCAUAGCUACAAUUGGGAUAAAGUUAAGGGACCAUUUCUCCAAUUGAAUUAAAGUUAAGGGACCAAAGGUAAUGGAUUUUUAGUUGAGGGACCAUAGCUGCAUGUUUUAAUGAGUUGAAGGACCAAUGGUAAUGGAUUUUUAGUUGAAGGACCAUUGCUCCAAUUUGAGUAAAGUUCAGGGACCAUAGCUACAAUUUACUCUUUAUUAAUUGACGUUUCACUAGUAAACUUGGUGGCAAUUGAUUUUUGUUCCGCAAUGAGUAAUCUAUGUUUCCACAAUGUUGUGCUCUCUUUUUCGAACAAAGUUGAGAUUCCACCAUAAAACUAAUUGGGAAUAUGGGAAUGGCCCAUUACUUAUAAGUAUAUGCAAGAUCCAUUCUUUUCUCGAUGUGGAAUAUAUUGAAAAAGAUAAAGUUGAGGUUUCACUAAAUAACCUUUAAUUUAUUGUCUAAUCCGAUCAUUUUAAGUGUUUGUGUAUGUAAAAGUAUAAAACCAAUUGUUUUCAACUGCUCAAUGGAUUGGGCCGUUUUAAGUGUCAUUUACUUGUUCAACAAGCAUUAGCCCAGAAGGCCCUAUUGCAAAACGUUGGAAUAUUAAGCAUUUUUACACCAAAUGAUUCAUAAAUAUAUGCUUUCAUAGACCUUUGUCUGCUUUGUUCUCAAAAUUUAUUUUGAACAAAUGUCUGAUACGAAUGCUUAUAGAUGUAGUCUGAGAUGAAUAAAAUGAUCCCUAUCGAGCCUCCAAAAGCAGGAUCGAUAAUUCAUUGGUUGAAGCUGACUGUUAACCUGAAUUAGGACCUGCUCAAUGUGAUUCCUUUUCCAUGAAGAAACCGGGUUGUUUCGGCUGAGCCAAAGCAGUCUCACUUCCCAACUUUAUAACCACAGACGCCGUGCUUGGCCUAUCGUCAGGAUGAUGUUGCGCACAUAAGAGACCAAUGUGGAUGCAACGCAACACUUCCGGAUAGUGUGCCCGAGCUUCCUAAGCAUGCAUCAAUCAGUUCUAAAGAAUUCCCUUCAUUCCACAAUCUCCAUACCCGAAACAAAUCAAAAUCCUUCGUCAAUUACUGUUCCAAUAAGAGCGAAAAAUUCAUGAUACUUACGUGUUCAAAAAGGUUACCGUUGUUGCUUGGAUUGGAGAAUCCUUUAUUUUUCAUUCCAGUAAUGAUCUCCAUUACCAAAAUACCAAAGCUAAAGACAUCGGAUUUCAUAGAAAAUUCCCCCCCCCCCCCCAAAAUAACAUAUUCCCUGGGGGGGGGGUAAUGUUGCUGUUGUAGAAAGUAGUGACAUCAUAGAGGAGUGAGAACAAAAUAAACAAUUGACGAGGACUAGUAGUUGGUCGGGGGAAAUACUAUACGGCAAACUUAUUACAUGCCAACUACUUUGUAUGUAUUUGUUGUAGUCUGAUCUCCUUUAGUCAAUAAUCUAGCUAAACCAAAGUCAAAUUCUCGGAUUUAUUUCAUUAUCAAGUAAAGCAUUUGUUAGCAUAGAUACCUCUCCGACUUCAACUUAGUUGUAGACUGCAUGAUUAUCUUUAUGUUUUGUAAUCAUGAUAGGACUUGUAUUAGAUGAUAUACAGUCCUUGUAGGACUCUCCAGCUCUUGUAUAUUUAUACCUGUUUCUGAGCAAUGGAAUAUAGUGACUUUCAUCAAUAUUAUUGUUCUAUACUUAUUGUGUUCCUUCUCUGAUUAUAUAUUUCUACAUGGUAUCAUCCCUUUCUUUGGCUUAACCACCUUCUUCGAUCCUGCUUUUCCUUAUGUCUUCUUCCUCCCUGCUUCUCGGCCCUGCUGUGGUGCAAUUUCUCAAGCUCAAUGAUUCUAACUAUCUUACCUGGCUUCGCCAAAUCAAGCCCUUUCUUAUUGGCCACGAUCUAUGGAAGUUUGUUGAUGGCUCUUACCCACCCCCAGCGACCACCCUCACCGUCCCUGCCAGCCCUACCAUUGUUGCCUCUAACUCUGAGAGCUCUUCGACGGUCACUGUUUCCCUUUAACCCAACCCUGCUUUCACCCAAUGGUACCAACAAGAUCAACUGGUUGUCAGCUACAUCACCGCCACCUUGACAGAGCCUGUUCUUGCUCUCACUGUUGGCCAUGACUCAGCCCAAGUUGUCUGGGCAUGUCUCCAAAGACGUUUUGCUCACGGCUCUGUCACCAACUCCGCUGCCCUCCGUUACCAGCUUCUUGAUCUCUCUAAAGGUUCUAAGCCUGUUAAUGAAUACCUCCAACAUGCAAAAUCCCUCCUGAAAAACUUGCAGCCAUCGGUCGUCCCGUCGACCUCGAUGACUUCAUUACUGCCGUUCUUCGUGGCCUUGGUUCUGACUAUCUUACUCUCACAACUGCCAUCAUCAAUGUCACUCCUCUCCCUACCUUUGAAGAGCUCAGCUCCAAAAUUGAAGCCUUUGAUCUUCAAAACCCUCGCCCUUCCCCAACUCCCGCCGCUACCCCGACUGCACUCAUCACAACCCAGCAGCCUCGUGCUUCCUCUCAGCCUUCUGGUAAUCGCAGUGGUACUUGGUCCAAUCGUUCCCAACGCAACUCCGGUGGUCAGCAACACGGCUGGCGUCCUAGCCGCAAUCAGCACUCCUGCAAUUCCCAACCUUGGAAUGGAUCUAAUAUUCAUUCCCAACAAUCGUGGACUAGGCCGCCUGCUCCUCCUCAUUGGCCCGACCCGCGUGGUUUCUCCGGCCGUCCCACCUCAGGCUUAUUGGGUCCUGGGCCAUGGUGCCCCACUUGCUCCACCUCCCAGCACAACGCUACCCACUGUCCUCAUCGCUAUGGAGGCCCAGAUUCCUUUCCUCCUUUUGCAGGCUCUCAGGUGGCUUACUAUCAGGAUCCCAAUACUUGGUUUCCCGACAUCGGCGCUACCCACCACAUGACGGGCGAUCCCAACGCCCUUCUCCACCCUCAACCUCAUCAUGGUCCUAAUUCAGUUCAAUUGGGUAAUGGUGAUUCUCUUCAUAUUACAUCCACUGGUACUAUUCCUAUUUCUUUCAACUCUAUUCCAUUUACUCUUCAUCAUGUUUUUCUUGUUCCGUCUCUCCAUAAAAACCUUUUGUCUGUUGCUCGCUUUACCCAUGAUAACAAUGUUGCUAUUGCUAUUUGUUUCUUUCCCUCUUUUUAUAUAUAUGAUUUACGCACUGGUUCCUUAUUGUUUCAGGGCCCAUGUAGAGAUGGCCUUUAUCCAUUGUCGCUUCCCUCACCCCAAGCCCUUGCUGCGUCAUCCUCCAUACUCUGGCACCAACGUCUCGGUCAUCCUUCGUCCUCGGUUUUAUCUCGUCUUAGUUCUAGUUUAGGCUCUCAGUCAUUUUCUUCUAAGCAUUUUUGUACAAGUUGUGCUUUAGGCAAGUCCACACAACUUCCUUUUCAAUUGAAUAAUACAAGGGCUACUUCUUCAUUUUUUAUUAUACAUUCUGAUGUUUGGAUGUCCACUACUACCUCCACUUCUGGUUUUUGUUAUUAUGUUUUGUUCACUGAUGAUUAUUCUCGCUAUUCUUGGAUAUACCCCAUGAAACAUAAGUCUGAAGUUUUCACCCAUUUUCAAACAUUUGUUGCAAUGGCUAAAAACCUUUUUCACGCUUCCAUUAAAUAUUUCCAAAGUGAUGGCGGCAUUGAGUAUGUUAAUCACUCAUUCUCUGUUUUUCUUCGCCAGUUAGGUAUCCAGCACUGUCUUUCUUGCCCACACACACCUCAACAAAAUGGACUUGCUGAGCGCAAGCAUCGUCAUAUCGCUGAUAUGACUCGCACCCUGCUUGCCACAGCUUUUGCCCCGCUCACCUUGUGGGUUGAAGCUGCGCUCACCUCUGUCCACCUCAUCAAUCUUCUUCCCACAUCUACCCUUCAUUGGUCCACUCCUUACACUCUUCUUUUUGGUCGACCACCUAUUUACUCCCAUUUACGUACCUUUGGAUGUAUAUGUUUUCCAUACCUUGGGCUAUGUUCACGAUAAACUAAUGCCUCGUUCUAUUGAGUGUGUUUUUGUGGGUUACAGUGCUACUCAUAAAGGUUACAGGUGCCUUGAUCGUGCCACUGGUCACGUCUAUAUUUCUCAUCAUGUCGUGUUCAACGAAGAGGCUUUCCCCUUUGCUAAUCCUCUCGGCCACCAACCACCUGCAUAUGUGGAACUUGACAUUCAUCCCAUUGUUGCUCCCUCGCCACGUAGCCCCCUGCCCGUUCCUGCCACUAUUACCCCCGUGGGCUCUCAUCUUUCUGCAGGUCCGUCCACACUCCCCGAGACUGGGCCCAGCCUUCCACCGCCUGCAGCCCAGUCUCCAUCGCCGCCUCUUACUGCCCCGUCACAGCCCCAACCACAUGUGCCUCUCUCCCAUCCCAUGAUCACCAGGUCUAAAGCCGGCACACGGAAACCCAAUACUUGGAAUGAUGGCUCCAUUCGGUAUCCUCUCCCUCAUGCUCUUUCCGUUUCGCUUCUUGCUGAUGAACCUACCUGUUUUACACAGGCUACUCGCAAACCCGAAUGGCGGGCUGCCAUGACCGAAGAAAUUAAUGCUCUUCUUAAGAACAACACUUGGGUUCUGGUUCCACCCUCUCCCACCCAAAACAAAGUCGGUUGUAAAUGGGUUUACCGCAUCAAACGCAACACUGAUGGAAACAUCGAACGAUACAAAACCCGCUUGGUGGCCAAGGGCUUUCAUCAACAACCGGGCAUUGACUAUGCUGAAACUUUUAGCCUUGUCGUCAAACCAGCAACUAUACGCACUAUUCUUAGUCUUGCUGUUUCCAACCGUUGGUCAGUUCGUCAACUCGACGUCAAGAAUGCCUUCUUGCAUGGUCACUUACAGGAGGAGGUGUAUAUGUCUCAACCCCCAGGCUUCGUUGAUCCCCAGCGGCCCAAUCAUGUUUGUCGUCUCACCAAGGCGCUUUAUGGUCUUAAGCAGGCUCCCCGAGCCUGGUUCCACCGCUUUAGCUCUUAUCUUUUUCACUAUGGAUUUCUUCAAAGUAAAGCCGACAGCUCCCUCUUCGUUUAUCACACUGGUUCUUCUCGUAUGUGGUUAUUAUUAUAUGUUGAUGACAUUGUCCUGACUGGUAACAACCCCUCUUUAUUGCAACAUUUUAUCACAGCAUUAGGCCAUGUCUUUGAAUUAAAGGAUCUCGGACCUUUUCAUUAUUUCUUGGGUCUUCAAGUCAGCACCAGUGCCCUCGGCAUGCACCUCACUCAGGCCAAAUAUGCUUACGAUUUAUUAAACAAAGCCAAUAUGUUGGAGUGUAAGCCGUGUUCCACUCCUGUUGCUGCCAAACUGUCCUUAUCUGCACAUGAUGGUGUGCCCUUAUCAUCCCCCACUGAGUAUCGAAUGUUAGUGGGCUGCCUGCAAUACCUCACCAUAACCCGUCCGGACAUCUCCUUUGCUGUCAAUAAUGUUGCUCAAUACAUGAGCAACCCCCUUUCGACUCACUUGCUGGCCGUCAAACACAUUUUACGUUACGUCAAAGGCACCCUUGAUCAAGGUUUAUUACUCCGCCCACAACCUACCUCCUCUUGCCUCUCCGCAUUUUCCGACGCGGACUGGGCUGGGUGUGUUGAUACACGCCGCUCCACCACCGGUUACCUGAUCUAUCAUGGAGCAAACUUGGUGUCUUGGUGUUCCAAGAAACAACCAACUGUCUUGCGUUCCAGCGCCGAAUCUUAAUAUCGGGCCUUAUCUCAUGCAUGUGCCGAGACCACCUGGCUCAUCUACUUGCUCCAUGAGCUUGGUGUUACCACUCCGUUCCCUAUCUACCUUCACUGUGAUAAUCUCAGUACGACGUACAUGGCUGCCAACCCUGUUUUCCAUGCUCGCACCCGUCACAUCGAACUUGACUAUCAUUUUGUACGUGAAAAGGUUGCUCUCGGUAGCCACCAGGUUCGCUUCCUCCCCUCUGUUGAUCAACCUGCAGACUUGUUGACGAAAGGGUUGCUCAAAGCGUGCCAUAUCUUGCUACGGUCCAAACUUGUUCAUCCUGGGAUGCCCAGUUUGCGGGUGGGGGGGGGUGUUAGCAUAGAGUCCUCUCCGACUUCAACUUAGUUGUAGACUGCAUGAUUAUCUUUACGUUUUGUAAUCAUGAUAGGACUUGUAUUAGAUGAUAUACAGUCCUUGGAGGACUCUCUAGCUCUUGUAUAUUUAUACCUGUUUUUGAGCAAUGGAAUAUAGUGACUUUCAUCAAUAUUAUUGUUCUAUACUUAUUGUGUUCCUUCUCUAAUUAUAUAUUUCUACAGCAUUACUUGCUUUGAGAUCUCUAUGAAUAAUCCCUAGCUUUGAAUCCUGAUAGAGAUAGACGAGACCGCGGAAUUCCACAUAGUUUUAAUUUCAAUCCAAAUCACUUAAUGACCUGUAUAUGAUUCCAUGAAAUUAUUUUAAACCAACCAAGCUUUUAUCUCUUGAAAAAGCUAUACGUGGCGCUAGCUGUUGUCAUCGGGUCAAAGAGUGGGAGCUCCAUGUCCCCUCUUGGUGUCCCUUCAUUGUCCUGAUUUCUUUCCCUUAUUUCCGUGAUGGGGUUCCUGUAGCUAGAGCCUAGAUGUAAUAACCAAACUAAAACUUAUAUGUGCAGAUAGAUUACAUGUACAGUUCCACCCAAUUAAACUCGAUAAAACUUAUAAUCCCGUUCUCUCAAAAAUGCAUAUCCAAACACAAAAAACAUUGACAAAUACUUGAAUGAUGGUCUCAAAAAUGCAUAUCCAAACACAAAAAACAUUGACAAAUACUUGAAUGAUGGUCAGGGUAAGAUGUGAUACCUUUAUUUUUUUCUCUUUCUUCGGCGAAUGAAAUAGCCAACUAAUAGUACUCCUGAAAAUACUAUUGCUAUGCCAAGAGCAACUUAUAAUUGCUAUCUUCACUCUUCUGUUGUUUUUUCCUUUGUUGUUGACAGAUCAAAUAAAGCAGACAAUUUUAAGAUGAAGCAAGCAAUAAAAAAAAAAAAAAAAAAAAAAACAGCAGGGCCAGUUCAGCUUUGCGAGAAACAAAACGAACUUCUUACUGAAACAUGUUGAAAAGCAAUAGUUGGACUACAAGUGACAUUAUAAAAGUAUGAACGAGAAGCUCAUUUUGUAUAGGUCAAUACCUAAUUCAGCAGCUGACAUUCAGAUAUAUGUUUCCUUCCCAGCAACAGGAACCUAUCUGAUAUUGUGGAAUUUUUCAGGUCGACGGGUCGAGGGUCCACUCCAACAACACCGAUACUGUGCCCACUUAACCACCUGCACAAUCCUCAAGUGUGGGGUUGUAUCACAAAAAAUCUUGGUGUUAGUUACAGUGGGGUAAUUCUAUAUAAAGUACUCUUCUCUUCUCCCGCUGUCCGAUGUGGGACAAAUGGGGGUUCCAACAGAUAUCUAUUAGAUCAACAAACCAGAUGGCACAGCCACUACCUCCUCCCUUGAUAUAUGAGCUUGUAUAAGCAGUACAGGAACCGUUUUUCCAGCAUUUGGCUCUGCAUUCCUUGAGAUUCAUACCUUUUUCCACCCAAAAAUUUGUAGUAUCUGGCAAUUUCAAGCAAAAAAUUUGAGAAACUCAUCAUUAUCUCAUUCGUGGCAGCUUAGUGGUUUAUUGCUAACGCAACCUAGAGACCAGGCCAUCAAAUUCCAAUUUUCUUGAGACUUGGGGCUGAAUCCUUGUAUACAUUGGCAGACCGGAUCUUCACAGGUACAAUUUCCAUUGGCUCUACAGAAGCCAUAAUGACCACACAAUUCUGUAGGUCUUGAUGAAAAACCCUUUAAACUGGUUGUUUGGUUCACUCUUAAGAUUGUAGAGUCAAUCUUAGGUUUGUAUGCGAUGUAAACUUUGUCGUCAUUGUAGACAAAUUUGAAACUAUAACAAGGUUUAGGACCUUUGGGUGGACCAAAGAUUGUCUGUCCAUUGCAUGUGCUGGUGCAAAAGAAUUUUGUACUUCCAUUCAGAUAUAUGCCUCAGGAUAUGCUUGAAGUUUCGUUUCAAUUCCAUAAGUAAAAUCUCCUGGGGAUGGGUCCAGGAUAGUCAAAGCUUUGCCACAAAUAGGUUUCUGAAUUUCCAUCUUUCGCAUCUCUAAGUACCAAAUUCUCAGAGUCUAAGAGCUCCACCGUUGCACUUUGGACCUCAUUAAUUAAGAUCGUUGACCAAAAAACACUCUUAUUCUUACACAAGAGCACAAGAUUGCCUGUGGUGUUUAAGAAUCAUUGUUGGGUUUGCAUCUGUUUGCAACCCAAACAAUAUUUCUAACUGGGACAUUUUUGAACCAAAUUCUGUUAAAGGAAGCAGGGGUACGCGGAUUUGGGAUGCUAACUAAGUAGACACGUAAGCGAGGUGCGAAAGGAGGCAGGCAACAAGUGGAUUGGGCUACUGGUUUAUUUGCUCGUUAGGCUUUCCUGUUCGCGCAGGCAUAGGAACAGUUAAGCCAGCAUAGAGCAAAGCUCAACCAAUGGGCUAUUUGCUAUAGUUCAAAGCCCUGUUCAUAGAAGUUUCGGAGACAGGAGAAGGUGGUUUACUUACUUGCUGCUUGUAAGAGUCUAGCUGCUGUUCCAAAGCUUUCAUGCGGGAGAAACAAGAUGCGAACAAGGGGCAAAGGAGCAGAUCAGGUUGUUUACUUACUUUUGUACUAGCGUGAGGCGUAAGUAAUGGUUCUUAGAACUACCUAGACUAAAGAAACCGAGUUCAAAUUUUCCAUCAUGAAACCAUUGUCGUUCCACCAAGGACAGACUGCAAAGGUGUACUGCUGUCAACUGCAAGGGAAAUUGUUAAUAACAGAUGGAACAAAUAAGCACUGAUCAUAAACGAAAAACAAAGACCACCCAUAAAAAAUUUAUUCUUGAGCUCCUUGACUACUGAUUUGAUUCAAGCAAAAGAUUAGAAGCAGAAGGAAAAGAUCUCUGUGGUUCAUAAUCAUAACGAUAAGACCAUAUACCAACAACCGAAAAGACCCCAUAGGGAUAAGAUAAUUUGGGAAGACCUUGUGGUUUCAUUCAUCAGAAAUAGAAAGUGAGGGAACCAUAAUUAACUAGCUAGUAAUGAACUAUGAUCUUUACUAGCAGAUCCAAGUUUAACCAAGUUGGCUCGAGAACAAUGUGUUCCGCAUUCUCCAUAUUUUAGAUGAAUUUAGUGUAAUUAUCUUAUCCGUUCUCCAAAAACAAUGUGAAAGAAAAAGAAAUUUUCAUACCUCCUCCUGGUUUCUUCUGGAACAAAUUUUGCUGUGCUUGUCGUGCCACAUAUUUGUGCCACUAUGCCAGUCAUUGAUAUCUGUUCAGGUAGAUGAAAAUCAACUCAAGGAUCUAUAGUUUUACUGCCUCUACUAAACUAAAGAGACUUGAGCAUUUUGGCUCAAUUUUUUUUUUUCAGAUUUGAGCUCAACUGAUUCUGAAAUUUCAAAAGAGAGUAAAAAGUAGAAACUUGGGGUUUGACAACUCACCGUUGGGAGUCACAGAUUGCCAAGACAGACAAAGGAAGCGGAUUUGUUAUUUCUUAUGCGACGACAUCCAGAUACGAGAUCAUCACUGUAAUCACCUGUUUGUUUUCACAAUGGUUGUGCUCUCUCUCUUGUUCAGUUAUUUGGUUGCGGAUAAUUACACUAUUGGGCAAAUCCAAUUUGCACCUGCUUUCACAAUGGUACGAGCCGUUUAAGAAAUGGAGUGUUCCUCCAAGGGUACAAGUCUGAGCCUCAAAAUUUUGUACUUAUGCAUUUACGCGUACUUGACAAGAUAUUUGAAUGAAUUUUGGAUGAAUUUCAUGUGGCCCUAAGCCCGACCUGUAAGAUUAGUUUAACACAUAACUUGAUCACUAAACCAAAAAAUUAAUCACUGACCUGAAAAACCAUGCUUGCUAGGGUUGAAGUUAAGAGUCUUCUGCUACUUGCCAAUCUCUGAAUGCAACUACUCAGUUCUAUGGGGCAUGAGGCACUUAUAUUGCUUAUCAACUGAGAGUGCAGGGACCUUUUAUUUAUACUGCAUGCAGUGGUGAUCAGUAAGACGAUUUCCCAUAAUACCAAUCCUUAUCAAACUCAACCUUAUCACUACUUUACCCAAGUGUUUAUAUCAGUAAGUACAUAUAUCAAUAUAUAUGUUUAUCAGGAGUGUCGAAGCUACGAAACCUAAAUGUACACACACUCUAAUAGCUUACAAACACUGUUAUACUCAAAUCUCUAUGAUCACAAGCUUCUAACACACGUGAAAUAAGUGUGCAGCUUUCUUAAGUCUUACAUUCUCCCACUAGGGCUAACACUUGUUUAUCACGUUAUCUCCAUAUUUGUGAUCAUACUUAAAUGGCCACAAGUUUGAGCUCAACAAGAUCCUGAGUUCAAGUUUUUGUCAUUAUUGACUAUUCAGAGAGAACUAAAAGGAUUUAUAUUCAAUCCUUAUGAAUACCAUCCCCAUAAUCACAUCCAUGAAACCCCAUUAUGAUAUGAACUAUACAUAAAUGUGAAUGAACAUGUACUAUUACACAUUUAACAAGAAUCCUGAGCUCAACAAGAUCCUGAGUUCAAGUCUUUCUUCUUGCUUCAUUUCUAAGCCCUUUCGUUGCAUUCUUAAAACAAGAAGUUAAAUUGUCAUCCUGAUAUAUACAAUGUAUAUCAUCAUAACUAUUAUUGUAAACCUUUAGGGAAAACUUAAUCAACCAACAGUAGUUAAGAAAAUUCAAUAACAGUAUCUCAAUACAUAAAACAAAGCUGUCUAGAAGAGGACAUAACAUGCAAAAUAUUAUAGCUCCCACAAUUCCACAGCAUCAAAGUCUGGUAACAUAACCCAUUUUUGCAACAUGCUUCUUGAAGACUACAAAUGGAAUUGGUUUCUUCCGGGGAUCUGCAACCAUCAAACCAGUUUCCAAAUAGUUAAAUUUAACUAACCCUGCCAUCACCUUCUCUUGAGCAAUAAGAUAUUUGAUCUCCAACUUACUUGUUGCAGUAGACCCCUUGCUGUUCUUGAAGAAAAAUAUUGCUGCAUUGUUAUCACAAAAUAUCUGAAUAGGCCUUUCAAUCAAAUCCACCACUAUAAGUCCUAUGAUAAAAUUCUUUAACCAUAUAGCUUGAUUAACUGUCUCACAGCAUAACAGGUAUUCAGCUACCAUUGUUGAGGCUGCAAAUAUGUCUUCCUUGACACUCCUCCAUGAUACUACUCCUCCUCCCAUUGUAAAAACAUAACCCAAUGUUGACUUUAGGUCAUCUGGACACCGAGCAAAAUCAACAUCACUACCUCCAAAAUCAAACUAUUAGCCGUUUUAUAAACCAACAUGUGGUCUUUGGUUCUUUGGAGGUAUCUUAAAACUCUUUUUCCUACAUUCCAAUGUGCUUCACCUGCAUUGGAUUGAAGACUUCCAUGGACACUAAUUGUGAAUGUAAGAUUCGGCCUUGUACAAACUUGUGCACAAAUUAGACUCCCCAUUAACGAAGUAUAUGGUAUCUCUUUCAUGUUAUCCUUCUCUAUAGCACUCUUGGGACAUUGGCUUUUGUUUAACUUGUCACCCUUUGAUAUUGGCAUCUCAGUGGUCCCACAUGGUCAUAUUGAACGUCUUUAACACCUUUUUCUAUAUAGCGCUUUUGAGACAGUCCCAACAUUCCCCUUUCUCUAUCUCGUUUGAGCUCAACCCCAAAAAAUACGAUGCUUCACCUAGAUCCUUCAUUUCAAAGUUACUUUGCAAGAAAGACUUGGUAUCAUCCAAAAGACUUGAGCAAUUGGAUGCUAGCAGUAUAUCAUCCACAUAAAGUAUCAUAAGUUGCUCCUAUAGAUUUUCAAAUAUAUACAAACAUCAAAUGGAUUUUCUGUGAAGCCAUGUUCCUUGACAACACAAUGAAACUUCAAGUACCAUGCCUGGAUGCCUGUUUCAAUCCAUAAAUGGAUAUCUUCAACUUGCAAAUCCUAUUUUCUCUCCCUUCCUCUUUGAAGUUGCACCAUGUAGAUAUCCUCUUCCAAUUCACCAUUCAAGGAAGUUGUCUUUACAUCCAUUUGAUGUAAAAACAAGUUAUAAUGAGCCACCAUUGCCAUUACAACUCUGAAAGCAUCCUUAGCAGAUACAGGACUAAAUGUUUCUUUAUAAUCAAUUUCCUCUCUUUGAGUAAACCCCUUGGCCACCAGUCUUGCCUUGUGUCUUUCUACAUUACCCCUUGAGUUCCUUUUGGUUUUAAAUACCCACUUACAACCUAUUGGUUUGACUCAUUCUCUCGGCUCUACAAGACUUCAUACUUCAUUUUACUCCAAUGAAGAAAGCUCACUUUUCAUAGCUUCAAUCCACUUGUCUGCCUUUAUACUCGAAAAGCUUCUUUUUAGUUCUCUGGAUCAUCGAACUUUGACAUAUUAAUUCUAUUUCUGCCAUAUACACGAAGUCACCUGAGUGUGCUGAUUUUCUACCCUAGUUGACUUUCUCCAGGGAACGAAAUAUUCUUUAUUGCUUCAGCUUCUUGUUUUCCUUGCUGAUCAUUCUCGACUACGACUGCUGGUUCAAUAUUUGCUGUACCCACUCUUGGUUGUUACUCUUAGGGAAAUUAGUAUCCCGAAUUCCAAACCGAAAUUUUUUGGGAAGGGAAUUUAAAGACCAAUCCCAAACCAAAUUUUCGGGAAUCCCGAAAUAUUUUCAGGAUUUCAGGACAAAUCGGGAAUCCCAAAUUGAAAUAUGGAAUUAUGAAUUGUUGUUCAAAUAUAUAAUUCAAGAACACAUUCAUGAACUAGGAAUGACAUUUCAUUCACACUACCAUUUAAUCUAAAACUGGCAUGCCUGACUGUUUUUAUCAGAGUCAAAAUUCAAAUUAAUUAAACACUUUUUGCAAUCUGUAGAGAGACAAAAGAAUCAAGCCUUCUAAAAUCAUCAGCCAUGACAGCAACAAUAAUAAAAUCCAAAUGGAUAUCAAACAGAACAUGAAAAAUAUGCAAGGUGUAGGGCAUUCCAGGUUGCGGAGCAUGAAUUAGAAACCACUAGCAUCAAUUAUAAAAGAAUAAUAUAUAUAAUGUAUAUGUAUAAAUAUAUAUAUAUAUAUAAUAAUUAAUAUUAUAUAUUUUCGGUUUGGUAUGGGAUUUCCGAAAUAUCGAGAAGCCAAUCCCGAAUCCUGUACCGAAAUUUCAAGAUCGGUUCGGGAUAGCAUCCUGAAAUUUUUGAGAAUUUCGGUUUGAGAAAUUUUUGGUUUGGGAUCGGGAUUUUUUUCGGUUCGGUUCGGGAUUUUCGGGAUUUUUUUCCACCCCUAGUUACUCUCCAUGGGUUGAUGAUUCAAUUUCAUUUCCUAAGUUCAUGGCUCGAUCAUCAUCAGUGUCACAUUCUUUGCUUAGAUCAGUGAUCUCAACCACUGCUGUUGUAGGCUGAUGAUGAUCCAUUUCAUUUUCUUCUCCAUUCCCUAUUUCUCCCUCUUCUUCAAAAACAAAAUCAUCAGUUCUAAUACUUGAAUCAAUAUCCAUCCGUAACUCCAAGAAUACUGCCUUUCUAGUUUCAACAAUCUUCAUGUUGUGAUUAAGGCAAUAGAAUCGAAACCCGUUAGAUCUCUCAAUAUAUCCCAUGAAGUAACAAGAGAGUGUCUUGGGAUCAAGUUUCUUGCCAUUAGGGUUAUAAAUCUUGGCUUCGGCUUUUCAUCCCCAAACAUGUAAGCGAUUUAGACUAGGUUUUUUACAUGUAUGUCCAAAGUUCGAAAAGGGUUUUUAGGUACUUGAUUAACAAUAUAGUUGGUAGUUUUGAUUGCCUUUCCUCACAUAAAUAAUGGUAAAUCAACCUUGCACAUCAUACUUCUAACCAUGUCCAUCAUCGUCCUAUUUCUUCUUUCUAAGACCCUAUUUUACUUAGGUGUCCCAAGGGUCUUGUACUGUGCUACGAUGCCAUGACUUUGAAGAUACAAUGCAAAUGGUUCUGGUUGUCUGCCAGUUUCACUUUGUUUGCCAUAAUACUCACCUUCUCUAUCACACCUAACAACUUUGAUCUUUCUUUCCAAUUGGCUUUCAACUUCAAUUUUAAAAAAUUUAAAAACUUCAAAAGCUUCUGACUUCUUAGAGAUCAAGUAUAUAAAACAAAACGAGAAAAAUCGUCUAUAAAGGUUAUAAAAUACUUGUUCCCAUCAAUUGUUUUUGUAGGAAAUGGACCACAAAUGUAUGUAUGAAUGAUCUCUAGAAGUUGUUUGCUUUUGGUUGAUCCUUCCUUUCUUGAAUUAGUCAUUUUUCCCUUAAUGCAUUCUAUGCAAAUUUGGAAAUCAUUGAAGUUUAAGGGUGGUAAAAUGUCAUUUUUGAUUAAAAGAUCCAUCCAUGUUUUAGAAAUAUGGCCGAGCCUUUUGUGCCAAAGGUGAGAUAAUUAAAGGGGUUUUGAGGGAUUCUUUUCAACAUUAAAGACUACAUUAUCGACAUAUAGUUUAAAUUAAAAACAUACCAUUACUCAUAAAACCAGCGCCAAUAUGAGAAGAAUUAUAAAAAAAAAAAAUGUUGAAGCCAAUAUUAUUUAAAGUAAAAUAAUACCCUAACAAAACAAGUUUUGAAACUAAAACUAACCUCCUUUUUCAUGAAAGGUACAUAAGAAACAUUUUCUAAAUCCAAAUAAAAAACCAAAGUCUAACUUAAGUCUAACAGUCCCGAAAGCUUUGACUUCAACCUUUCUUCCAUUACCCAUCGAGACUUUCACUUCAUCUUUAUUUGGUAUUCUCUUUAUUGUGAAGCCCUGCAAUGAAUUCAUUGACAUGAAUAGAAGAGCCAAAGUCAAGCCACCAUGCAUUACUAGGUAUGUCAACUGAAUUAGACUCAAAACACACAAAAACUUUGUUACCUUUCUUUGUUUCUUGCUUGGCAAGCCAAGUUUUGUAUUUUGGGCAACUCUUAUCAUGUGGCCUGCUUUCUUAUAGAAAAAAAGGGGUAAAUUACACAAAACUACCUCAACUAUGGGUUGAACCACAAUCUCAUACCUAAUGUUUUAAACAUUGCAGUGUCAUACCUUAACUUAUAAAUUCAUUGCAAUGUCAAACCUCCGUUAAAUUUUCUAUCAAUUUCGCUAUUAAGUGAUGACGUGGCAGGCGUGGGGCCCAAUCCUCACCCAACUUGUGAUAUCCCGUCCCCAAAAUUAGUAUUUUAUUUCUUUUUAAACGUAUAUUGGAGAUUUAAUUGAAGUUAGUUCGUUAAUUCUCCGAUUUGAGAAAAGCAAAGUGAGGGGUACUUUAGUUAUUUCAAAUUUUCUCAACCUUUUCGGUCAACUCUUAAGUUAGUUAGGUAGAGUUCAAUUCCACGAGCGCAUAGGCGCAAACGGAUCUCAAUUUCAAAUUAUAACGAAGAAGUUAGAAACGUUUAAAGUGGGGGAUAUUUUGGUUAUUUAGACCUUACCAUAAAUUUCCACAAGUGGAUACCUAGAUUCUUGGAGGUUUCCAUUUCGGGAAACUGUACCCAAAAGCCCAGAAACCCAACCCAAGUGACCCACCGCAACCCAUGACAUUCCGAUGCCGAUUCUGGCCAACUCUAGUUUCAUUUUUCAAUGCCACCACCACCAUCUUGAAGAUCUCACCUCCCUCUACAAAACCCACCCAAGAACCACCUUGAUUAACCAUCGUUCUCCGGCCACCCUUAUUAUUUUUUCGAUGAAUCGGCAAAGCGAUGGUCGAUUCCUCCACUUGGAACUUGAAGCCCAUCAUCCCAGGAGUAAAUCCCGACUAGACUUGACCCCGUUGGACCACCCUAGGUUGCAAAUUGACGCUGGGAAGCUUUAGGCACCCGCCGGCUUUAUCGGCAAAAUUGAUCAUUUUCCGCCCACUUUUGGACAUUUUGGAUUUUUCCCACUGGCACCAAUGUUGUAUCUCUCACCACACUUCUUGUUCCACUACUUCUCCUUGAUCAUCGUCAUCCACCUCCCAUUUCUCCUCCUCACAUAGCAAAACAUCCAACAAACGUGAAUGACUUUGCGAGUUUUGGUGUUGGUUAUGAUUCAUUGCCAUUAUCUUUCGAGAAGAAGAUGUUUAGUCCUCUGCUCAUAAAUUGAAAGAUUCAUAAGUGCAUGAUAAAAUGUCUGUAUAUAGUCUAGAAGUUCAUCAAGACAUGUCUACCGUGGACCUCUAUUCCUGCACCAAGACACAUCUUCCAGUGAAUUUAUUCCUACAUCAAAACAUGUUUCCCAGUGAGGCUAAUCAAGCAUCCUUGUUUACUUAUAAGGCAUAAGAAAAUUCCAAUCCUUGUUUUAUCAGUUGGAAAUAAGCUAUUUCUGAUGCACCCAUUUAUCCAUAGGUUAUUACAACGACUAAAUAGCCAAAAUGGUCCCUGAGAUUUGCAUAACUCAUCACUUUGGUCCCUAACAUUUCAAAUCAAUAAAAGUGGUCCCUGAGAUUGUCCACCAUCCAUCAUUUUGGUCAUUCCUUUAAAAGCUCUGUUAAGUGUCCCGGAGCUCUUGGCCAGAAGUUGGAGCAAUUUUCAAAGCUUCGUAACUCAAUCGUUUCUUAACCAAAUUCUACCCAUAAUAUAUCAAAAUGAAGAUAGGAAAGUGUAGAAUAAGAGUAUACCUAUUUGGAAGCCCAAUGACUGCCACAGAUAGCCGGCCUCAAAGUUGACUGGUUCGAGGGAAAACUGGAAAACUCGCCACAAAUUGGGUAAACUUUAAAUGUUCAUAACUUCUUCAAUACUCAACGAAAUCAAGUGAUUCAAAAACUAAAAUCAUAAUUCUCGAUGAGAUGAAGAGAAUGGUACAUUUUUAGACGUAUAAAUAGUCGUGGUUUAGCCGGAACAUUGCUCGAAAGUGGCUAACUCGAGACCAAGAUAGCCACUUUCGAGCCAUUUUCCGGCCAAAUUACAGCAUGUUAGCUAUCGAAAAAGGUACCAUUCUGUUCGUCUCAUCAAGAAGUAUGAUUUUUGUUUUUGAAUCACUUGAUUUUGUUGAUUAUUGAAGAAGUUAUGAAAGUUUAAAGUUUACCCAAUUUCCGGCUAGUUUUCCAGUUUUCUCUCGGAUCAGUCAACUUUGAGGCUAUUUUCUCGCCAUCUUCGGCAGCCAUUGGGCUUCCAAAUGGUAUAAUCUUAUUCUACACUUUCCUAUCUUCAUUUUGAUAUAUUAUGGGUCGAAUUUGGUUAAGAAACGAUUGAGUUACGAAGCUGUGAAAAUUGUCCAAACUUCCGGUCAAGACCUCCGGGACACUUAACGGAGUUUUUAACGGAAGGACCAAAAUGAUGGAUGGUGGACAAUCUCAGGGACCACUUUUAUCGAUUUGAAAUGUUAGGAACCAAAGCGAAGAGUUAUGCAAAUCUCAAUGACCAUUUUGGCUAUUUAGCCUUAUUACAACAAACCACAACCUGUAUGAACUUCUUGGAACAACAAAAAAAAUUUUGGUCUAAUGGAAACAAUAAUAUCUAUCAUCUCACUUUUUGACUAUUGGAAAUAAUAGAAAGCUUUAUCCCUCUAUGAAAGUGAGUUAAGUGCAGAGCAAUGCUGGAAUGGAAACCAAGGAGAAAAACAUUUUUCUCUCAGCUGGAAAUCUCUAUCUUGACUAGUGUUCUGAAAAGUGGUCUACGCAGCCGCCUAGGCUCUAGGGGGUGGUGCUUCAUCGUGAUUAACCUGAUAUCGUUUAUGAAAUCAACAAGGGUAAUAUGCGGUGUAAGGUGGACAUUGGGCGGCCGCGGCAACUUGGGAAAAAACAAUCUAUCACGAGACUCACAACUCACGACUCACAAAGAAAGAAGUCUGCGUCUCGCUGAUUCCAUCAUCGCCCUCUAGAUGUAAUCGAAGAGGAGUGGUCGAUAGUCUACAAGACGAGAGAGUUGUAGAAGAGAAGUUAUGGCUCUGUAAUUACCGAGAUGGCUGACGACGACAUUAGCUUAGCAGCUUUAACAAGCUUUGGUUAGGGCCUUUUAUUUUAAGCAGGUGGAAAUUCUAUUAAAACUAGGAAUAUAAGACCCAACCUUUCAUUUAUUUAAUGAGAAUAAAAGGUCCAACAAAAGUUAUAGGCAUAAAAUAUGAUACAAAAUCAACAAAAAGAGUUCUAAAUUUUACACAUAUACUUAUAACUUAUAAUAUAUAUAUAUAUAUAUAUAUAUAUAUAUAUAUAUAAUUAAAUAAAAAUAAAAAAUACUCUUAGGAUCUCACAUAGGCCCCUAAAUGUUGGCCCUCCCCACUUCCCGACUACCACCUAAGGCACACCAUUUUGCACCUCAAGCUCUCAUGCCAAGCCUAAUUAUUCUAAUAUCGAGUAAUUAUUUUCAUGCGAUCAAAUAGCUAAGUUCUAUUAGCCUCCCCUUCUUUUGGUCACCAUUUAGAGUGUUAAUAGCUUUUAUCUGGUUCUAGGUAGACUAAUAGCUUUUAUCUGGUUCUAGGUAGACUUUCAUGUUUCCUAGUUUGUAUCGUCAUCACUGUCCAUUGUACUUUAAGUCAAAAUUAAUUCUAGAGCUCCAAUAUUCUUCUAUAUAUUCUUCUCCAUCUUAGAGGUAAUAUAUAUACUCACAUCUCUUGUAGUACAAGUAAUAGUUGAUGACUUCUAAUCAAUUUAGGAAAUACAAUAAUAGUAAUUAUAUUCCUAACCAAACUAGGACUCACACCAACAUUCCCCCUCAAGUUGGUGCAUAGAUAUCGCCUAACCCUAACUUGUCAAGUGAGUCUUGAAAUCUUCUCGUAGAAAUAUCAUGAGUUAGAAUAUCUGCCAAUUGUUCUUCUAUCUUCAUAAACAAAAUGUCAACCAACUUAACAUCUAGCUUUUCAUUUAUGAAAUGUCUAUCCACCUCAACAUGUUUGGUCUUAUCAUGCUGCAUCAGAUUGUUAGCAAUCUUUUAUGCUGCUUGAUUUUCAUAGUACAAUAGCAUAGACCUUUUUGGUUUGAACCCUACCUCAGUGAGUAGAAUCUGAAGCCAUAUGAGCUCAAAAAUACCAUGUGUCAUUCCUCUAUACUUACCCUCGGUCGAAGACCUUACCACCACAUUUUGCUUUUCACUUCUCCAGGUCAUAGGAUUACUAGCAACAAACAUAAAGUAUCCUCAUGUAGAUCGCCAAUCAAUAAUAUUUCUAGCUUAGUCUGCAUCGGUAUAUCCUUUCACCUUCAUGUGCCUAUGCUUUCUAUACAUUAACCCUUUUCUAGGAGCCAUUUUCAAGUAAUUGAGAAUCCACAUUACCGUCAGUAUAUGAUCCUAACUAGGUGCAUGCAUGAACUGACAUACCACAUUUACCGCAUAGGCAAUAUUAGGUCAUGUAAGCGACAAGUAAAUCAAUCUUCCCACUAACCUUUAAUACUUUUCUUCAUUUGUCGGGACUUGAUCUUGAUAAAUUGCAAGAUGAUGAUUCUGUACAAUUAGAGUAUCCGUCUGUUUACAUGCUAGCAUAGCAGUCUCAGAUAACUAGUCUACCACAUACUUACAUUGUGACAAGUAGAUCCAUUCUCGAGACCUAACAACUUGAAUACCUAGGAAGUACUUAAGUCCCCUUAGAUCUUUCAUCUCGAAGUCGAAGGCCGAGUACCCCUGUAGUUGUUCAAUUUUCUUCAUAUCAUCACCUGUAAUUAUAUCAUCCACACAUAUAAUGAGCAAAGUAACUUUACCAUCCCUGCGCUUUAUAACUAAAGGAUGAUCUGAGUUCCUCUAUCAAUAUCCAUACUUUUUCAUAGCUGAAGUGAAUCUCCCAAACCAUGCUCUAGGUGACUACUUAAGACCAUACAACACCUUUUGAAGUUUGCCCACUUUCCCACUAGAGUUUGCAAUGCCAUAUCCUGGUGGAAAAUCCAUUUAGACUUUUUCCUCUAAAUCCUCAUGCAGAAGUGCAUUUUUCAUAUCAAACUGGAGCUAACAUUUCCUAAUAGUCAACACCAAAGGUUUGUGUGUACCCUUUAGGUACAAUCCUCACCUUGUACUUAUUGCCUCUAUCCAUUUCGGAUCAUUCAAGGCUUCUUCCACUCUGGUAGGUAUUUUGAUAGUGUCUAUUUGUUCAACAAGCGCACGGUAUUUUAGCUAGAGUCGAUGGGUGGAGACAUAGUUUGCAAUAGAGUAUUGUACCUUCUCUUCUAGAGAGUACCUUUAUGGCGAAUUUCCUUGAUUUUGUCUAGGAGGUAACAUAUAGAGUGGUUUACUAAUUUCUGAUUGAGUACUUACCUCAAGGAUAUCCAUUGAAUCAUCGACUGGUAUUGGAAGAGUGUGAUAGGACUUGUCAUUUGAGAUGUUACUCGGGGAAGCAGCAAUGGACCUAUUUGGUCAAGUGGCAAAAGUAUGAAAUAGCCCAUUUGGGUAGGUUGCAGAAGCAGUGUGAAACCCCACCCCCAAAUAAUUUGUAAUUUUAUUUUUGUUUAACAAUUUAUGAAAUUACGAAAUUGCCCCUUACUUCCUACCCAAUCCAUAUCUCCUUUCUAGAUUAUCUAACUCUCUUUAGUUGCCACGUGGCAGCCCUCUAACCCAUCCCUUAUCUUUCUCUCCUUCCCACGAGUUAACCCUCUCCCUUUCUCAGCUCACACAUUUUUCUCUGUCUCACAGAUCUUUCUCUCGCAUUUUCCCUUCCCGAUCUACCCAUACACGCACACCAAGGCACCAUCACCCUAAUGACCUCACCACCACCACCGUCACCCUCGUGAGAACCCUCCCCCUUUUUUUCUUUUUCGUUGUUAAGCUCUAGGGCACCCAAAGGACACCCAAGAACCUGUGGUGUUCAAGUCCAAAUUUCGGCCACCCCAUGACGAAUCAAAGGUACCUAAUCACUCAAUUUUGUCUCUAGCUUCAUUUUGGUACCUAGUUUAUGGCCUAAGGGUGAGUGUUAAUGAUGACCGGAGCUCAGAAGACUCCGACUUUCUUUCCUCAGCAAAGAAAUGACCUUCAAGCCCAGACCCAAAGAGACAGACCCUUGGGGCCAUGCUAAUUUAGGCUAUUGGCCCGCUAAACCCUUGGUCUAAAAACAUAAGGGCUUUGGCCCGUUAAACCUUAAACCCUAUAACCUUUGGGCCGAGCUUUCAAGCCUAGGCCCUUUGACCUAAAACCCAUUUGACCCAGGGCUUUGGGCCUUAAAACCCAGCCCAGUGGUGAAGCCCAAGCCACCGAAUCCAAGCCCAAGAACCUUAGCCCAAAUCUGGUCCAGCCCAGCAACCUAGUUGUGCGUGAGCUUGCGCGUGGGUGUUUGUUGGUUCUGGUUCAUGAUUUAGGAAGUUGUUCCAAAUCACAUUCAAGGUAAUCAUACAAGUAAAAGAAUCACAUUGGAUAGUAGACAUGAAUAAACUAUCAAACCAAACAAUGUGGUCAAGAGUAUUGUAUUAGGGAAAAACCGUAUUGCAUUGUAAUCCUAAACUGAAUAGGUUUUCCACCUCUUCUGAUUAGCUUGGGUAGCCAUGAUAUACUGUUAGGUGUCACUCAUGGUUUGUGGAAUCCCUAAAGGUGUAUAAUCACUAAAGGGAGAAUUGAAAGUAUGUUUCAAUUCACAAUCAAUUUGAAAAGUUCUAAUCGCCCACUGCCUCGCUAAAAGGAACCUAAUGGAUUGUACACCGUGUAAGGUAAAUAUUAAAGAAACAAUGGAGAUGAGUAAGGAUAAUUAAAAGGUUUAAUUAUUUAUGGCCAUGAUUAAUUAAUAUGUUAAUUAAUCAAAUGAAUAAGUUCGUUUUAGCUUUGAGUAAUUAUUCGAUCUCAAGGCCUAUUGGGCUUAGAAUCGUCAAGCCCAUUAACUUAAGUUGUAUAACAACUUAAUGACUAAGGACUCAAAAGGGACCAAACAGCCCAAAGCCUUUAGAAGGCCGGCCAUAUUGUAAAUGAAUGGGUUUUGGUUCUUUUUGUCACUUAAGUGAAGUGACUAUAUAAAGGAAUUUAUAGCCAAAAGUUCAUAAAGGUUUUCUAGAGAGAAAAUAUGAGUACACAAAGCUCUCUCUUCUCUUAGGAGGCCGGCCACCCUAGAGGAAAAUAACUAGCAAUCAUUCGUCCUCUAGAUCACUCAUCUCUUCCUCAAUGCUCUCCUUGGUGUGGAGACUUAGAGGUUCCCUAUUUUGGGAACUUGGAGAAUCGAUUCCUUCAUCCAUCCAAGAAGUCAUGGAGCCAAGAAGCAAUGUUUCUCUAUCCACAUCCAUGGAGUCAAGGAGCAAGAAGACUAAGGAAAGAAGGCCCUCACAUGGGUGAAUAUCCUUUGCUAGGCAAAUAGGUGCUUCAAAGGUAUAAAAGUUUCUCAACUCUUUCCCUUAAUAUUUGAGUUGAGUCUUGGUUCACGACAAGUAUUAGGCCUUGAAUUUUAUGGGUAAAAUUUUGUUUUUGGGUGCAUAUAAGCAUGAUUCUGCCUUUUAAUUGUUAAUUGCAUGCAUAGAUGUUGCUUAAAUGAACUAGUUUUCACAAAGAUUUCCUUCAGUAUAUGUGAGUAGACCCCUUCUAAAAUGCAUGUUUUAAUAGUAGAAAUGCAUACAUGAAAAUCAUGAUUUAAUGGUUACGUUUUAUGAAACGUUUUAUAAGUAAAUUGGAUUUACAUUAUAUGAUUAUCAUGCUUACUGAGAAUAUUUUGGAAUAUCAUAUUUUAUCGAAAUUAUGUUCUUUGUAGUAUAUAUGAUGGAUGACUAUAUAUUAUUUAUGAACAUGUUUUCUUUACACUUCUUUAUAGUAUAUAUGAUGGAUGACUAUAUGCUAUGAACAGGGGCGGAGGGACCAUAGGACCACAGUAGUCCUAGGCCCAUCCUACUUUUGUUUAUAACUAAAAAUUAGUACUACUUAUUAUUUUAUUAUUUUCAGUUAAAUCAUUCAUAUUUCCUAGACAAACUAUCCGGCCCUCUUUAAAUAUUUUAAGAUAUCCGGCCCUCUUUAAAUAACCCUAAAGCCUACCUAUAACCUAUUCCAACUUCCAACACUUCAUCUUCCAUUCAUUUUCCCAAUACUAAAAAUUAGUAUUUUAUUAUUCUCUAAUUCUAGCCGACUGUUGCUCUGCUGCUAGUUUGAAAAAAUAGUCAGAACACUUGAAACACCCCUACCCUCUUUUAUAUUUUAAAAUUGUUUUAAAGCCUUAAUUGGUGAGCCCGUGGGGCCCACCUUGUUUAUUUUUUUUUAUGUUUUCUGAUCUCUCUCUUCUUCUUCUUCGUUUCUCCCUCCCGUAGCUCUCUCCUUCUUAACACUGCUUCUCUCAUCUAGCAUGUCACAGUCUUCAACCAGUCUAUCAAUCUAUCAGUCUUCAAUUUCCAUGAUCCUCAAGAGUAUGAACUUCGAAUCUUCAUAGUUGUCAUUUUUAAUUUUUUUUUUAUAAUUUGCUAAUUCAUAUAUGUUGUCAUCUACAAUUGUAAAUUAAUUUAACAAAUAAUAUUUUUUUUGCAGAUUAAAGAAUUCAAUUAUUCCAUCAUUCCAUAAAAAAGACAUUGAAGUUUAGUUAAUUGGUCAACAACCCAAAGUAUGUAUUUUACUCUCAAUUCCUGUUACAAUUUUUUGUUUAUAAAUUAUGAUUAAAUUGAUGUCUUGCAAUUUCUCUUAACUAUUGCCUAAUUUGUUUGAGUUUGUAAAAUUAGCAUAUAUGUUCAUAUUUCUUUUAAUUUAAAGUUAGUAAAUCUAUGUUUUUUUACUUUUCAGUUAUGGAAAGAUAUUUCAAAAGAAAAACACAACCUGAGAUAUUAGAACCGUCUCCAAAGAGUCCAAAGAACAAUGAAAGUAGUUCAAAACAAACUUGUGUGGAUUCUAUGGAAAUUAACUCGGAAACUCUCCAGUAUGAUCCUGGAUUGCGUAGACCGAUUUUGAGUUAUCAUCCUAAUGUUCGAGACCAAGUUCGAAGAGCCUAUCUCCAAAAUAAAACCUUGUCAACCAAAAACCCCAUGCAUUUCCCUACACAAAUUUUGGGACAAAGCCUAGAAGGUUCAAUCCUGCUUGAUUUACUCAAUUUCCUAAUUGGUUGGAGUAUAGCACAUCACAGGAUGCUGCCUAUUGUUUAUGUUGUUAUCUCUUCAAACCUGAUAUUGGAGAUCAAUCUGGUGGGGAUACUUUUGUUGGAGUCGGAUUCAAGAAUUGGAAGUGCAAGAAGAAACUAGAAAUUCAUGUUGGAGGACCUAAUAGUUCUCAUAAUAAUGCUUGGAGAAACUGUGAAGCCUUAUUAAACCAAAAACAACAUAUUGAAACAGUUAUCUCAAAACAAACUGACCAAGAUCGAAUUGAUUAUCGAACUCGAUUAGGUGCAUCAGUUGGUGUUAGUAGAAUUCUCUUACAACAAGGUCUUCCAUUUCGUGGGCAUGAUGAAUCUGAAAAUUCACUCAACCAAGGAAACUUUCUUGAAAUUCUACGGUGGCUACGUCAUUAUAAUGAGGGUAUAAAGGCUGUCACGCUAGAAAAUGCUCCUGAAAAUUUGAAAUUGACAUCACCUGAUAUUCAGAAGGACAUCUCAAGUGCUAUUUCAUAUGAAAUCAUCAGUGCAAUCACUAGUGAUAUUAAUGAUUCUUUAUUUUCCAUUCUUGUUGAUGAAUCACGAGACAAGUCUUCAAAGGAGAAAAUGGCCAUUGUAUUGCGCUUUGUGGAUAAAGGUCAUGUGAUAGAGCGCUUUGUAGGUAUUGAGCAUGUUGCAGAUACUAAAGCUUCCUCACUCAAGUUAGCCAUUGAUGAUUUCUUUUCUAGACAUGGAUUGAGCAUAUCAAAAUUGCGUGGGCAAGGCUAUGAUGGGGCAAGUAAUAUGCAAGGUGAGUUCAAUGGCCUUAAAGCACUAAUUUUAAAUGAGAAUGAGUCUGCCUUUUAUGUUCAUUGUUUUGCUCAUCAACUUCAAUUAGCUCUAGUAGCAGUGGCAAAAAAAAAUUCUGAAAUUGGAGAUCUCUUUACUAUGGUUUCUUCUGUGGUGAAUAUUGUGGUGGCAUCUUCUAAGCGUCGUGAUAUUCUUAGAGAGAAACAUGCUCAUGUAGUUUUGGAAGCACUAGAAAAUAACGAGCUUUCAAGUGGACAAGGUUUGAAUCAAGAAACUACUCUUAAGCGGGCUAGUGACACGCGAUGGAGCUCACUAUAAUUGUUUAAUCAGCUUGGCUCACAUGUUCUCAUCAACGAUAGAAGUGCUUGAGAUUGUAAGAAAAGAUGGAACAAGUUCUGAACAAAAAUUUGAAGCAAAGGUUCUAUUGACUUUUAUUCAAUCUUUCAACUUUAUUUUUGGUCUACACUUGAUGAAAAAGGUUUUGGGGAUCACAAACGAUUUAUCGCAGGCAUUGCAAAAGAAGGAUCAAGAUAUUGUGAAUGCAAUGAACUUGGUCAAUAUAUGCAAAGGAAGAUUGCAAAGGAUGCGAGAAAGUGGUUGGGAAUCCUUAUUUGAUGAAGUUUCAUCCUUUUGUGACAAGAAUUGUAUUAAAAUUCCUAGCAUGGAUGAUAUUUUUACGAGUGGAGAGCGACCAAACCGAAAAGCUCAUCCCAUCACAAACGUGCACCAUUAUCGGGUUGAUUUAUUCACCGAUGUCAUAGAUAAACAACUCACUGAGUUAAAUGAUCGAUUUACUGAGAAGAAUACUGAACUACUUCUUUGUGUGGCAUGUUUAAGUCCAAGUAAUUCUUUCUCUGCCUUUGACAAAGAAAAAUUGAUGCGUCUUGCCCAAUUUUAUCCAAGUGAUUUUUCAGAGCACGAUCUUGAGUUACUCAAAGAACAGCUUGAGAAUUAUAUUUGGGACAUGACCUCUAAUAGUGAGUUUGCAGAUUUGAAAGGAAUUAGUGAUCUUGCACAAAAGAUGGUUGGAACCAAGAAAGAUCAUACUUAUCCGUUAGUGUACUUGCUUUUGACACUGGCACUCAUCUUACCGGUUGCAACAGCAAGUGUAGAGCGAGUCUUUUCUGCUAUGAAUAUUGUUAAGAACACCCUACGCAAUCGAAUGGGUGAUUUGUGGAUGAACGAUUGUUUGGUUGCUUAUAUUGAAAAGGAUAUUUUUAAUAGUAUAGAGGACGAGGCUAUCAUGCAACGGUUUCAAAAUAUGAAAACUCGUCGAGGACAAUUAUUUUAAUUAUUGGGAAUAUGUAAUAUUAUCAAUGCUAUGUUAUUUUGAAUUUUGGUUACUUUUCAUAUACAUACUAUGAUGUUUUGGUUAACAGUUUUGUAACUACUAUCGAUUUAAUUUUUUUUAAUAUUUGUGAGAGGCCCCUCCUAAUCCGAAAUCCUGGCUCCGCCACUGGCUAUGAAGAUGAUUUUGAGAUAUAUGUACUUAUGUUUGGAAAGAGUAUAUUCAAUGUUUUGUGCGUAUCUAGUGGUCAUUAUUCUACCUACGGGCAAUGAUACUUAUAUUGGCUUUGGUUGGGCAUUGGUAGAUGGCUACGGCCGAAAGAUACUUAUAUAUGAUACCAUUAGCUAGCACACUAUACGAUAUAUGUUUCAUGAAAGGUUUUAUGGCAUGCUAGCAUUUUCGGAAAACCUAUUACAUAUUAUACUAUUGAGCUUUCAUAAACUUUGGGGGUUAGUAUGUUGAUUAACUAUUUCAAUAUUAUAUAUAUAUAUAUAUAUAUAUAUAUAUAUAUAUAUAUAUAUAUCAACUUGAUCCACUCAUGUUUGUUUUGCGCUCCCUCAGGACAUAGGAACGAGGCUUACAAUCUGAGCUACGAGGCAUUCCCCUACUAGUGAUAUCUUGCCUUUAUCUCUGCUUGACAUUCAUUUUAAUAGCACCUUUCUACUUUACCUUCCACUUGUACUCUGGAUUAGUUGUAUACUCUGAACAUGUCAUGCAUUAUCAUUAUACUCAUUGUUGGCAGUUGAAUAUUAUUAUUGUAUUUUGUAAGACUUAUAUUUGAAUAUUACUUUGCGUAGUUACACGCAAAAUGUUUAUGCAUGUUUACAUGUUCUUAGCAUAUGCAUUCAUUAAAUAGCUUGCGUUGUCGGCCAGCACGUGGCCAUCCCGAUGGGGAUUGGGGCGUGUCAAGCAGGGAGAAAUCCAAGUAGGCUGACUGUAUCAACCAACCUACUUGUUGUGGGUUCAAUGAGGUCAUCAUCAUCAGGAGGCCCACCGCAUUUUGUUGUCUCAAUUCCAACAUGACUAGGGAAAGGCCCACGUGGGCUGGCAACAUCAAACGUCCUACUUGUCGUGGUCUUAAUUAAGCCAUCUUCACGCCCAGGUGCACCUUCACCAUUGCCAUGUGUAGCAUCAUCAUUACAGCUAAAUGGGCUUUAAACGCUGCCAUGUGCAGCAUAAUCAUCACGCCCAGAUAAGCUUUUGAUGCUGGCUUGUUCAUAAUUAAAAGAGAAUCCAUUUCACCCACUUAAGCUGUCUUGCGACCCAUUUUUUCCAGCACAUGCAUCAUCACUUGUGUUGUCUUCUACGUUGUCUCAAUGGUUAGUCAGCUCACUUAGGCCAGUUUGGUCAGUCAGCCCACCUUUUUCCAUUUGAUUAGUCAAGCCACUUGGGUUAGCACGUUUUGUAGGUGGAUCGGAGUCAGCAUGUGGUACUAUCUCCAUCAUACCAAAUCUGCCAUAAUCUUUAAUUAAGUUUGUCUCUCCUUAAGGAGUAUGGCAGGAAGAAAAAAUAAUUCAUCUUCAGAGAAGGUAAUAUACAUGAUGACAUACAUAUGUUAAGUGGAUGGAUGAUAACAUCAAUAUCCUUUCUGUUGAGGACUAAAGCCAAGGAACACACACCUCACCGCACAUGGAUCAAGCUUGCUUCUUUGAGUUUUGUGAAGAUGGACAUAUGCCGCACAACCAAAAACCCAAGGUUCAAGAUGGAGAGUGGAGGGGAGGAAAGCAUGAUCAGACAACACGACCAAGGGUGUUCUAAAAGAGAGAACAUGCGAUGGCUUCGAUUAAUGAGAUCAAUAGCUAAGGCCAUUUCUGAGAUUUCGGGGGCCCUGUGCAAAAUUCAUAAAAGAGACCCUUCUUAUAAGACAUUUUAAAAAAAAUUAAACAAUGUAUUGAUGCUAAAAAACAAUAUCGAAAUAAACUUUAAAACUCACUAACCAUCUAUUCUAAAUAUUAUUAAAUGUACAGAAAGAACCUAUCAAUAGCUCUGAGCCAAUUGUUCAACUUUUCUUUUUCUUUGACGCUUCAAGCCAGAUGAAUAUUUUCUAGUAGGUGCCAUUUUUUAUAUCUCAAACAAGAUCAUAAUAAAAUUAUAGUAAGUAUGAACAAUGAAACCUAAUAGUCCGCAAUACAUGUGCAUCUAGUGAUUUUUUGUGACUGCUCUCCUCUUGAUUUUACCCUGAAAAGUACAAAAGAAAUUUUUUUUAUUAUAAAUGAGAAAUACCCAAACCUUCAAACUCCAAGUCAAUAUACUUAAAUUAGUAAAUAUCUUACUUUAAUUGAAGUCUACAUCAUUCUGAUCAGUUGAAUUGUCUUCAUGAUUUGGAAGUUUCUCUUCAAUUUCAUGAACUUAUAAAUUAGGGUUUAAUAAUUUGUGGGAAAAAGAACAAUGGGAAGAGAGAAGUAAAGUAGACUAGAUAUUGGCGACGGGGGAUUCUGACAUCUGGAACUGUGGUGUGAAAGAAUAAAAAAGAGGAGCAGCGAUGGGAUUUAGUGUGAGAGAGGAAAAGUAGGAAGCAACGACAGUGAUGGGAAUCAGCAGCACUGAUUGGAAUAAACCAUCAGAUAUAUAUAUAUAUAUAUAUAUUGAUUUGAUUAGUAUUUUUAUAUAUUAUUUUCAUACAAUAUUAUUUUAUAAAAAAUUAUUUUUAGGGCAGGUGUCUGAUGGUUGUUGGCCCCAUCGGAUUUUUAUAUAUAUAUUUUUUUAUUUGAUUAAUAUUUUUAUAUAUUAUUUUCAUAUAGUAUUAUUUUAUGUAGUAUUAUAUUAAAUAAAAAACUAUUUUUGGGGCCCUGUGCAAUGGAACCUGUCACACCCUUUAAAAACCGGCUCUGUCAAUAACAUAGGUGACUGCAUCAGCCCAAUAUGUCUUAAGCACAUAGCUACCAAUAGGAAGAGCAAGGGUAAUCUCAAAUAUGCCUAUUUUUUCGUUUGGCAACUCCAUUUUGCUGUGGGGUUUGAGGACACGUAGUUUCUUGAAGAAUGCCCUUUUCUGUAAAAAAAAAACUAAGAAAAAUCUUGUUUAAGAUACUCACCACCGUUGUCUAACCAAAGCACUUUAACAAGGAUUGAAUAUUGAGUAUUGACCAUGUGAUAUAAUUUUUUAAAGAUGUCAACCACAUCGCUUUUAUUUUUCACGAGUUACAACCAUGUUAUUCUAUUGCAAUUGUCAACAAAUGUUAGAAACCAACGCAGAUCAUGCUAAGUAGUAACCAGAGAUGGCCCCCACACAUCAUAAUGAAUUAACUCAAACGAAAUUGUUCUUUGAUUUAAACUUGGAGAAUAAGAAGCUUGAUGACCUUUAGCUAAUGUGCAAACAUUACACUUCAAUGAAGAAUUUGAAAUAUUACUAAAAGUAAUUUUCGUAAAUAACCAAAAGAGGCAUGAGCUAACCGACGAUGCCACAACUAAACGGUCUUAAACCUUUUAGUGUUACAACCUUGAACUUGAUGUACACUUCCUUAUACAACAUCAUCAACAUAGUACAACAUCCUUUGCUUAGUACCAUGCCUAAAUGAUUGCCUCAGUUCGGAUAUUUUGAAGUAAACAGUAAGACGGAAAUACAACAGAGUCUAAUUGCUCAAUGACAUGUCCCACAAAUAACAAAUGACUAGAGAGUGACGGAACAAGUAAGCCGUUGUUCUUGGACGAAAUCAAAUUCAAUGAAAGCUGCGGACCUAGAUUUUCUCGGUCCGAUUGUAUAUCAUCAUUGAGUAUUGCUGGUGGACUAAGCGGACCCAUGCCCAGUCUUCUACCAACGCCAUCAAUAAUGGCUGAAGAACCCAGCGGGCCCAUGCCCAGUCUGCUGACAAUAUUGGCACCAUCGCACCAGCCUUCAGUUUGCUUGGAGUGUGGGCUCCAGGCUCCGCAAGCCCAAAACAGCCCACGCUGUAUGUCAGCACAGCAAGCCCAAUGGUUGACCCCACGGCAGAAAUUGUUGCAUGGCUUUCUCCAUUGAAAAAGGAAACGGUGGUGUAGUUAUGCGGUUACGUUUCUAGGAUUAGGUUCAGGAUGAUCCUCUUGUUUCGAGAUCAUCUUCGGUUUUACUGAUGCGGUUACGUUUCUAGGAUUAGGUUCAGGAUGAUCCUCUUGUUUCGAGAUCAUCUUCGGUUUUACUGAUGCGGUUAGGUUCCUAGGAUUUAGGUUCAAGGUGAUUCUCUUGUUUCGAGAUCACCUUUGGUUUUACUGCAGGUUGCUGUUUUUCCAGCCAAUAAGAACUCAAAGUCGGCAACAAGGGUUAGGGUUUAGAGACACGUUGAAGUAAUUCUAGGGUUCCAAUAAUCUUCUAUAUAUUCUUCUCCAUCUUGGAGGUAAUAUAUAUACUCACAUCUCUUGUAGUACAAGUAGUAGUUAGUGACUCUAAUAAAUUUAGGGAAUAUAAUAAUAAUAAUAAUAUUCGUAAUCAAACUACUGACUCACACCAACAAUUUAUGCUUUUUAUUUGGGCUUUUAUUGGCCUUAUUCUUGUUGUGCCCGUCUUAGGCUUUAAGAGUUGAUCUUUCGUUCAAAAUAAAAAAGUACAUAGGUCAUCUUAUUCAACAGGACAUUAUAAAAUAUCAAUAUUCUAACAACAACCAAACCAACUCAUAAUGGCACUGGAUCGAUACAGAUUGAAGUAAUACUAUCUCUCGUCACCUUUCCCACACGUGUGAAUCCAUCUUCCCCUUUGUAAAGAAGAUCAGUUACUCUUGUUAAAUUGAGAACGCGCAUAAGAACAGACAUUGGCACAAAAGUUGGUCUAAGGAACUCCUCGUUUAUAUCCUUCCACAAAUCCAUAAUUUGCUUCUGAAAAACAUCAACCGUCUCUUGCACUG
This 86360-nucleotide long non-coding RNA is filed under the name Malus domestica (apple). RNAcentral's name for it is "long non-coding RNA (MDOM_LNC010821)". Lineage: Eukaryota; Viridiplantae; Streptophyta; Magnoliopsida; Rosales; Rosaceae. The record is from RNAcentral.